UUCUGUUAGUCCAGUGUAUUGAAGGUCAUGGCCUAGUCAAGUAUGGUCGCCCAUUGAGUCGUGCAUAUGUUUCAUAUGAUUGGAGCAGGGGCCCAGUUUGUGCCGAUUGUCAGUGCAUAUGUUUAACAGUGAUUCUACUUGUAUAUGUGUUAUUACACUAGUAGAAUUUGUACCUGUGCGAUGACUGGAGCAGGAUCCCAAUAUUUGUAGAGAUUGUAACAUUGAUUGUCACUGUAUACAGAUUGAUUCUGGUUGCUGUUACUUUAAGUAUUUCUUAUGUUUUAUGUCUGUGUUGUUUUAAAUAUUGAUUAUUUAUUUACUGUCAAAUCAAAAUCAGAAGAAAAAGGCAUUGACAAAAGGGGCCCACUUACUAGAACUUGACCACUGGGACCCAUCUAACUAGAGGAUUUUUUUGAAAGAAGAAAAAUAAAACUGUCUAGCCGAAAAGGCCAUGACCCAAAAAUGAGAAGGCUUAAUUGUUGGGCUUGGCCCAUCUACCUGACCAAAAUUAAUAUGAGAAAAAAACAAAUAGGCUGAAUUGUUGGGCUCGGCCCAUGUAAAACACCGAAUAGGACCGGGCUGGUUCUUGUGCCACAUCAGCUUGCCACGCUGGAUGCCUACAUGGUCUGGGGAGGUUGCUAGUGACCAAAAAUUUGGUCGUGGAACCAGCCAACUUUUGACCUUCUGUUUUUGGUCACAAAAAGGUCGCAAAUAAAAAACUAGGACGUUGAUAAGUGCCACACGUGUGGGCGUUAGGGAGUCUGCCCACACAUUUUGUGUGGUAUAUAAAAGGAACAGCCCACACACCUACGUGUGGGCAAAACAAAUAAUGCCCACACACCUUUUCCCCCCUCCCGAUCCCUCUCACACGCGUGCGUGUGGGCGAAAUAGAUAACGCCCACACACCCCGUACGUCAGGCCUCGUACCUCGUGGUACCGCAUGCCCCGCGUUACAGUCACCGCGCGCCCGCAGUUGCCAUGGUCCAGACCCUCGUCCAUGUUCGUUUAACUGCAGUUGCCAUGUCGCUGAACUUCGGUUUCCAUGUCGGAUAACUACAGUUGCCAUGGUUGCUCAACUGCAGUUGCCAUGUAUGGUCUGGUCUACUGCAGUUGCCAUGAUUACAAAACUUUAGGAGUUGCCACCCACUAACACUAGACAGUUGCCAUGUAGCACUACAAAAAAGGCAUGGCAAAAAAACAUGUUCGGGUAAAAGAGAGAGUUGCCAUGUGCUAACAAGUACGCUAGGGCAGUUGCCAUGUAAAAUAAAGAGUUGCCAUCUGCUUAUGUGCACGCUAGGGUAGUUGCCAUGUACCAUGCAAAAACACAUGACAACUCGGGGAAAAGAGAGUUGCCGUCUGCUUACAAGCAAAGCUAGGGCAGUUGCCAUGUACCCUGCAGAACCACAUGGCAACUGCUAGCUUUGGGUGUGGGCGAGGAGACGGGCGUGUGGGAGAAGUGAUAAACACCCACACACCAGCCCCCUCUGCGUGCGUGAAAACUAGUGUGUGGGCGAAUUGCUAAACGCCCACACACCAGCCCCCUUGUGGUAAAAAAGGACGUGUGGGCGACCGGAUGAAUGCCCACACACCAGCUUUGUCAUACGUGGCACACAAAAACUGCUAGAACGCACCAAGAUUCGUGCAGAAUUGGUUGGACGAGGAUCCAUGCGUGUGGGCGAGUUGCUAGAUGCCCACACGUGUGGGCGUUAGUGUUUUCGAAAAACUAUGACCUUUCAGCGACCAAUAGUGGUGGUCACAAGUUGACAUAUUUCUUGUAGUGAUAGGAGGUCCGUUUCCUCCGUUUUGCGGUACGCCAGACCCCUCCCGAUGAACAGGAUCCCGUUUCGAAUGUGGCCGGUCGAACACAAGGCCGUUUCCUCCGUUCUGCGGUAUGCCAGGCCUCGUUUCCAUCGACUGUUCCAUCCAAGCCCUCCCGAUGAACACGACGAUGCAUUCCGUUCUGACCCAGCCGGUUGGCUCCCCAUUAACACGACGACGACGCUGUUUCUCCGUUCCGACCCAGCCAUGUACACGAGCCCUGGCCGUACGUACGUGCGAGUAGGCGUCCGAGACCCUGCCCGUAUGUACGUACGUGGCCGUAUUUACUUUCUUGCACCCUGGCCGCUGUACGUACGUGUACAUGCUACGUGCGCGCCUCUACUACGACACGUGCGCGCCUCUACAUCGACCAGUAUGUACGUACACGUUCGCGACCAGAAUGACAACGCUAUGUACGCUUCGACCAGGUGGGUCCCUACUGUCAGGCACUUCCUUGCAUGCGAAGAUGUAGCUGGUGGGUCCCAGCAGUCAGGGGGGCGAAUCGUUUUUUUGCCCGAACGCACUUCCUUGCGUGCGAAGAUGUAGCUGGUGGGUCCCAGCAGUCAGGGGGAAACCUUUUUUUGCAAAAUACGGUGGCCUGUCUGGUGUGUCCCCGCUGUCAGGUGGAGGAAUAAUUAUUUUGCGCGUAAUAAGGAGGCACUUCCUUGCUGCGGCCGUGGACCCAGCUGUCAGCCUCUCCACGUACAGUACUCUUCCGAUGGAAGUCGUUCCUUGACCACGUUGACCACGCCGUGCUGAGAGCACCAGGGCGGUGGACGACGGCGAGGCCUAGGAAGGGGACGACGCGGAGCCGGGGAAGACGUGGCAGUGGAAGCCCGCGCGGAGAGGAGUACGAGGGUUCACUGGUUCGGCUGCGGUGUGAGGCUGCCGUCGCUGCAGGGCCUGGCCAGCGGUGGGAAUAGUAGGGGGCGGUGAGGCCUCCGCGGCAUCACAGCCGGCCACGGGAGGCAGGAGCAUGCGACCCGACCGGCACUGCUUUGGGCGGCUGGAGCAAGAAGACUAGAGGUUGAAGAAGCACUACGGCCGUUGGAUAGACAUCGUACGGUCACUCGAGCUAGAAUCGUUCAUAUUGACUAAGUUGACAAAGCACUCCAUCCCUGUCAACUUAGUAGGCCCACAAGUCAGCCUCCCACCAAGGUGGGUCCCAACUAGCAGGGGGAGUAUACAUUUUUUUGUGCGUAAUAAGGAGGCACUUCCGGUGGGUCCGAGCUGACAGCGGGGGGAACUUUUUUUCGUUAAAUACGGUGGCCCGUCCAGUGGGUCCCAGCAGUCUGGGGGGGAAACGUUUUUUUUGCCAAAUGCGGUGGCCCGUCCGGUGGUUCCCUGCGUCAGGUGGAGGAAUAAUUAUUUUCCGCGUAAUAAGGAGGUACUUCCUUGCGGCUGCGGUGGACCCAGCUGUCAGCCUCUCCACGACAGUACUCUUCCGAUGGAAGUCAUUCCUUGACCACGUUGACCACGGCGCGCCGAGAGCACCAGGGUGGUGGACGACGGCGAGGCCUAGGAAGGGGACGACGCGGCAGUGGAUGCCCACGCAAAGAGGAGUACGAGGGUUCACUGGUUCGGCUGCGGUGUGAGGCUGCCGUCGCCGCAGAAUAACAGGGGGUGUGGGUGAGUAGAGGGAUGCCCCGGCCAGCGGUGGGAGUAGUAGGGGGAGGUGAGGCCUGCACGGGAGGCGGGAGCAGGCGGUCCCGCCGGCGCUGGAUUUGGCGGCUGGAGCCAGAAGAUCAGAGAUUGAAGAAACACGACGACCGUUGGAUUAACAUCCAAUGGUUACGUCUGCUAGAAUUGUUUGUUGACGUAUAUAAUAACUAAAAAAAUCUUGCAUACGCGUCAACUUAAUAGGCCCAUAAGUCAGACCAUUCCCUCUUUUUAAAUAAUUUAUAUAUAGCUCAUUGCGACUUCUUAUGCAAUUUAUUGCAGUCCAUUUUUUUGGUUGGCCAGGGCCAAUUUCGCAUAUUUCUGUGGGUUCCAAACUAUUUUUAAUACCGAAAUGUCUAGCCAGAUGUAAAGUACUUUGAAGAUAUAUUUAAAUUAGGUUAAUGCCCAGUGAAAUAGGAAUCUGAAAAUGUGAAAAAAAUUCAGAAAUUAUAAAGUAGUUGCCAAUUUGUCAUCUGUUUUUAUAUUCACAACCCAUUUCAUAUUACUUUCAAGAUUUGCAGGCGUCUUGAAAGAGUUGCAGCCCAUCAGGGCGUAGAAAAAUAAAUAGGCCUGGAUUGGGUAUUCUUCAGAAAAAAUAAACUGGGCUCAUUUUCACAAAGAAAAAAUAGCUGGGCUGGUCACAUGGUGAACAUAAAAUAUAAGCCUGGGCUAUACGGGCCACAUCCCAGUUCAAACCCUGCUCCGUGUCAACAAUAACAAAAAAAAUACUGCUCGAGCAGCUACGUCCCAGGUGUCAACCGAUCUUGUGCUAUUCUCUUGUCUAUUGACUAUAUACGCUCAAAAUGUCGUGGGUCCCAGAUGUCAGGAAAACACUAGGAGGAAGCAUUUUAUUUUUCCAUACGCUGACAUGGUGGGCCCGUACUGUCAUCCUCUCCACGUACUUCUGCCGAUUCCUAUUGUUUGUUGACCAUGUUAACAACGCGAGAGGGCGGCGCCGUGGCGAGCGCACCAAAGCGCGCGGAGGACAACGGCAAGGCCUCGGACGUCGGCGUUAACGAUUUAGGAGGCGGUGGGGCGGCGAUGCGUGCGCUGAGGUGCAGCCAGCCAUGGGAGGCGGAAGCAGGCGGCCCCGUCGGCGCUGGUUUGGUUUUGGCGGCUGGAGGAAGACAGGACUGAAGAAACACGACAGACUGUAAAAGCAGCAGGAGUACUUAACAACCUUAACUUAAACCAGCAGGUGCACUUAACAACCAUAGCUGAAAGCAGUAUGAGUACUUAUACAGGUUCAACCAUACAAAGCACACCUCGAACCAUGCUACUUUGCCUACAGUUAACCAAGGGUGAGGCUGCCAAGCCCCAGGACAAGGCCCAGGCGCCACCCCGCGCAUCCACAACCUUCUGAAAGCGGCUUCAUCUCGCAAUGUGGUCAAUAAACAGGAUAUUCGCUUUAGAGCCAUGGAAAAGCAGGAACAUAAUCUUUUGUCCUAUUCUCCAAGACGGACGGGCCUUCAUUAUUUGAGACCACCCAUGAAUAAGUAUCUUUUCACCUCCAAGGGGAAUGGAGUAGGUCGACAUAAACAUCAUGUUGUGACCAAGCGCAAGUCUGACCCGACCAUGGUCAGGCAUCUGUAUAGGAACAAUAGAACUGGGCAGUUUCUAUUUCAAGAAGAUCACAGCUGUAAAACUGUGUAUAAACAAUAGUUUAUGAACAACAUAUAUAACAGAAAACAGCUCGUACCAUAAGUUUCUCGACACAGUUGGACCUGUUCAACGAGUGCAGCAGUGGCACACAUUUCCCACGUGGCCUUCCACCAUUGAAACGCCCCACAAGGACCUCAAGACGAUCAAUAAAGUGUAGGAACUUGUGGAUGUCGUCCCAGUCAACUUCAGUGCCAUCAGUAACAGCCGUGUUGUUACAGAAUAACAAACGAGCAGCAUGCUUAACUCUGAAAAAACCUACACGUGCCACCAAUUAUAAGAAAAUAUUAGUUAGAAGUAGCAUCUUCGUGAGAGAUUCGUUGCUACUUCGAAUUUCAUUAGUUAGACAGAAUAGGUGGAUUAAGAAGUAAUCGAGGCAACAAGCAAGAACUAGAUACAAAAUUAACACGGAUGAACAAUUGGAACGAUGUCGGGGUGGAAGAUCGCAGUGAAGAUGAGCCAACUUUCAGUCUGUAACACUUGAGAAAGUUUAUCCAAGUUCGGCCAUAAAAAAAGCAGCGAUCUUCUUGGUUCAUGAACCCAACUCAGAACUUAUAUCCAUGGCUUGUCUUCACUGUGACCAUUAAACUGGUGUAUUCAGUUAUGGCAAGGCCGAGCAUCUUGAGUACAUGUGUUCUGGCAGAGCAAAUAAUGCACUGCAGGAAAAAUAAUAUGAGAACACAAUGUAUUCCCUAUCCAAAUCUAGAAAUAACUUCCUCCUUCAUGUCAGUGUUGACCAUCGUACUGGUAGUACCUUUUAUCCAAAUAUAGCAAUCCCAAUUUCCAAAUUAGUCGACAACAUGUUCAAAAAAAAACCCCACCCUCCUGGAUAGAAAAGAGGAUUCUAGGAACAUACUGUGCGCGUUUUAAAAUCCUGUGUUAGGAUGAGAAGGAACAAGUGUGGCGUCUCACCGAUGGCGCAGAAACCUGUAGGGUCCUCGCACUUUGGGCACUGCAAAUGAAACACACUAGAUUCAGUAGGAAGAAAAAUGCAUCAACGGCGGCGGCUGCCAUCCUAGGAUUACCCGCGACCAAGGCACUUGGAUUUAUCGGGGAUGGAUGAAGAAUUCGUACCUGGUUCUCCAUGAGAAAACCCUAUGCAAUCGCCGAGAGGGGGUUUUCUCUGAACAAGGAGACGAGGGAGAAGGGGAUUCAGGCCCGGUGAAAUAUUGCGCUUAGACCGUCCAGCUUACUGCUAAAGCUGGAAGGGGGGGGGUUUGUGAUUUGUCGGCUCAUUGGGCAUUACUACGGCGCUACGACCGGGGUGUGUCUACCGUGCAGUUGUGCACUCUAAUUUGUGCAUAUGGCACGUGGACCCCAUUGCCGGAUGCUCCACAUAUCAGCGAAAGGAAGUAGAAAGACAUGAGUAACUAGUUACACAAAAAUAUAUUUUUGACAGAGAGAUACUCCCUCUGUAAAGAAAUAUACAAAUCUUUUAUAUAGCAACUUUAUACAUAAGAAAAAUCAAGGGGAAUAUAUAUAACAUAUAUAAUUAUAAAAAAUAGAGUUGUUUUUAACACAGUAUACACGAGUUGGUGAUGAUGGUGUGCCUGCCAUCCUACAAUAUAGGCCGUCCGAUUUAUAUCUGACAGAUAGGAAGGAAACUAUGGCAAUUUUGCAAAAAGGUACCCACACACCUCUACACAUUUGCAAAUAAGGCCUUCCCUCGUUCAUCCUUUUUCUCUCACAAGAUAAAAUACUCAUACAAAUGCAUCUUGAUGUUACGUGCAACGCACGGGCAUUAUGGGGGUUCAACUGAGAAUAUAAUACUCAGACAGGCUCACGGUUUUGGACUUUGGGCCGCAGGCCCACCCUGCAUGUUUGGGGGCCCAUGUGUUCAACCUCAGCGCUUUUCAUAUUGCAAGCGAUCGGUACGGCGCUGGUUUUAGAUGCUGACGCAAGGCGAAUACACAAAAUUGAAUAAAGCACGACAACUAUUGGAAUGAAAUCAAACGACAGUUCCUAACCAGCAAUGAGAGUUGCAAUUCUAUCAACGAUAUACCAUGUGAUAAAUAAUACUAUCGUAUUACUUAUACACACAGGACACUUGUUUCACUAUGCCAGAUUAUUACAUCAAAAUCUCUCGUAGGAUAGAUCAGUUCGGCAGUUGCGUGCUGCUACUGAAGAAUUUCAAAGUUGAUUUGGACCAGCUCUCCUUGCCGAGAAAGUUCGAUUUUGAGAUCAUCCCCUACCGCAAGAUAUGAUUUAGAUUUGAACCUUGACCAUCCUUUAGCAUCAAUCAUCAUGCGACCAUCCUUUGUACUUACGGUAUGUUGAGCAGGUUCAUUCACACCAAGGCUACACAUGGUAAGAGAAACUUGGCCGUUGUCGCCCGGAUUGUUGAACGACUCCCUCGUUGCUCUAGGAAUUCUCUGUUUGCAAACAAGAAGACAUACCCAAACAGUUAGAUCAACACAGUGAAUCAUGUGAAACAACAUGGAAAGAAAAAAGAACGAAACACUUGGGCGGCCAAUGCUUACCAAGAAGGUGGACAUGUCGGUUUUUGUAAGGACUUUGGUAUAUGAAGUGCGAACUGCAGCCCAGUCUGUUGCCGGUGCAACUGCUCGUUCGGUUGCCGCUGCACGGACCGGAGCAGGUGCAAGUGCAAGUGUUGGUGCAGGUGCCGAAGCCGCUGCUGCUGCUGGAGAUGGUGCUCCUUGUAGAGCUGGUGCCGGUGUCGGAGCAGGUGCCGGUGUCGAUGCCCGAUCCUCCGGUAGAUCAGCCUGAUCCGCUGACGCGGUCGGUGCCCAAUCCUCAGCUGGAUCAGACCGAGCUGCUGCGGCUGUCAGUGCUAGAGCAACUGCCGGUGCUCGAUCCGUUGCUGAAGGUGGUACCGAUGUGCGAGACAGCGGCGAUCGUGUCUGGUCUGCUAUGAUUAGCUUUCUAACUUGACUAGGCUUCGUGACUGUGAUCCAGUUUUUUUCUCCAUUUCUUUUAAACGCGAGAAGGACUAAUUGUGGCGUUUUUGUUAAACCAAACUGCAGUUCAUCAUAGGGAUUCAGCUUGUACUCAGACAACAGACUGAUCCAAUUUUUUCCAGUAAUAUAAGUGAUGGACAAUGCCUUCGUUACUGACACGACAUAAGAAGUGAAACCUACAAAAAUAGCCAUCGUAGAGCAAACCAAACGGUUUAUUCUGUGAUGAAUGUCACAUGGCAAAACCUGCAUCGUAAAAUUGCAGGAAAAGAAAGAAAACAUGACAUUAAAUCAAUAAGGUUUAGACAGUAAAUCAAUAAGAUUUACUUGAUGUGACACGAGUGAAUCCUUACCAGGAAAUCACUAUGUUGAAGUACUAAACAGAAGAUUGAUCGUCCAACUACAGGUGGCAUGCAGGGCCCCCGCCUACUCUCACAAGCAGGACAGUCCAAAGGUCGUGACAAAUCGUAUGGACCGAACAUCCAUGGGACUGGAAAUCCUGGUGGGUGCGAUAAACCCUACAAUGCAUACAGAUAUUGGAGUGUAACCAUAAUUGAUAAACCGUCCUCACAAAAAAGAUGAUCUGGAUACUUCAAAAUAUACAGACUGAAUUGAGUGGACAGACAUUAACAUAGACCGUUCUCAGGACUGACCACACACCAAAAGCGGCAGUACUAAUAAACAAUACAGGGUUCACAACCACAAAUCAAGUACUGAACAAUAGUACUUACUACAGACAAGCAAAGUUGCACUAAUUAAACUCUGCAGACUAUUUCUUGCCACCGACCUACGGGAUGAACCCCGCAUAACUGACUAGGCCCUGGACUACGUGAGAGAUGUCUACAUGCACCAUCACUAUCUCGUCAACCUUGGAGAACCUAACAGAGUGGUCUUUCCACUCAUAAACAUGAUCAUGAAGACAGGCCGCAUCAGAUUUGUUGGGAAGCUUUACAAGAACCACACCCUUCGUAAUCGAAGGCACAACCAGGAAAUUGUUGUGGUCAAGUACAACCUCGAGAACACGCCUGACAACAAUGCUACAAGAAAACACUAGCUCAGGACACGUGGCGACAAGGACACAACAGCUGGAUAGUUUAGCAGUAGAACUCAUCCUCAGGUCUUCCAGUUCACACGACAUAACUUUGAGAACUUCAUCUCCACUGCGGACCUGGUUCUAAUUCAAACAGAAACCAUAUUUUAUUACUACCUCCGUUCAGAAAUAUAAGAUGAUUUUCGAUAUUAUACUCAAUAUAUGACUACAUAUACGCACAGAAAUGAGUGAACAAAGACACUAGAACAUGUCUUCAAAGACAUGAGAGCAGAGGGAUUACUUGCAAUAUCCAUAACACAAGUUACUGAGGCAAAUAUACCCUCUUCAAAGGUAGCAUUGAUGUUCAUAAAGUACUCCCUCCGUCCCAAAAUUCUUGUCUUAGAUUUGUCUAGAUACGGAUGUAUCAAGUCACAGUUUAGUAUUAGAUACAUCUGUAUGUAGACAAAUCUAAGACAAGAAAUUUGGGACAGAGGGAGUAGUUGAAAGUAAUCUAUAAGAAAUCAGUGUCAACCUCUCGCAUGUUUUGGUCAAAAGAGGAAUUUAGAACCGUCAUUUGGCACACAAAAAUCACAUGCAAGAUGACCCAGAAAGUUGUACUACUAGUACUAGUACUCGUGUUAGAUGAAAAAACACGAUCAAGAUCGAGAAAAAUAUCGUCAAGAAGAGAUAUUACCUGGACUUGCUUAAUGAGGGAUCCCGGAGAGGGGGGCUUGGACAGGGCGAUGGAUUUGAGCUUGUCUGCGGUAGUCUCGGAGGGGUGCAUGCGCUUCUUCGUACCAUGAGCCUCGACGGUUUUGGACAGAGCCAUAGACAUCACUUCGGCCGGUGCUCCAGCGUCCAUCAAGAAACUGUCAAAUAGAAAUAAAAGAAAAGAAACCAUAAUCACAAACCCAAAAGAAGAAAAGAGAGGGAGUUAUAGGAUCAGUCUCGGGGUUGCAAGACCGGGCCUUGGCCAGAAUCAACACCAUUGAUGCGCUCAUCUUUGGGAGAGAAGAACAAUGGCAGAAGUAGGUCGGGGUUUUCUUGAAGAAAUGAGGAACAAGAUGACGGAGAAACGAGUUGGGUACGGAGGAAGCUGAGAGAGAAGAUUGAAAUGAUGGUUGCUUCGUCCGUCCAACUUACUGCUGGAAAGGAGGGGGUUUUGUGAUUUGACGGAUCAUUGGGCAUUACUGCGGCGCUUCGAUCGGGGUAGUCUACCAUCACUCUACUAUGGAGUAAUUUAGUGCACGGCUGGUGGACCCCGAUGCUGGCUGUCCCACACGUCGGUGAAAGUGAGUAAUUUAGUGCAUGGCUGGAGGAGGAUCCGCAUGGUAGAGCGUGUCCACUGUUUUUCUGAAGAAAAAAAGAUUACAGCAAGCGUUUCCACUCUUACGACGGAGGAGUGCGAAACACGGCAGCCACUUGAACAUACACAGUGCUCCUACUACUAGGCAUGUGCAGUGGUUCAUACGUUAGUACUACAUAAUCUUGUUGCUAGUGUAGUAAGAUAUGACGACAACAAAUGAUGUUGUGCGCAUGUCAACUAUAUGAACAGUAAUGUAGUAACAUAGUAUCGCUUUCUCGACUGUCCAGUCGAGAAUGAACGGUGAGAUCAGUAUUAACAAAACUAGGUCUACAGCACACGGAGAGUACGGUGCUACAGUACUCCACGAAACAUGAACCAUAUGAAGCACGAAUAGUGUUAGGCAAGGUGUAUGAAGGGUGCACGGGAUGGGAGCAAAAGUUCCCUUCUCGACCCACUUUUGGGUGUUUGGCAGAGUGCAUGAAGGGUGCAUGAGUCCACACUAGUAGGUUAACACAAAUACACGAAGAGGAAACAACUACUUAAUGUCUUUUUGCUAAUUAAUAGCAUUGCAUGCAAUGAACUAACCACUGCAUGUCAUGUUUAUUAGUCUCAAGUCAUUGAAAGCAUGCACGGCCCACGUCUCUUAUUGGUUGAUAUGUCACAAAACAAGAAACAAGGAGGGAGUUAAUGUACUGUGCCUAAGUGUUUUGGGAUUAUUUGGUUUUCGUAAGGUGACUUACACACCUAGACAGAGGGAGUAUAUUGAGAUGAGAAUGCAACCAAACACACCCACACGCUUUGUGCUACAGUGAUUGAUCUGCACCGUCUGAGUUUGAUCCAACGGUCAUGUUGCACCGAGACAUGGACAUGCCCAUGCAGAGGGCGCCUAAACACCACCGAAGUCCCUCUGCUUCUUGGGGCGCACGACGUUGGCGAUGCAGGGGCGAAACGGCUGAAAGGCAAUGCAAUCUACGGGAAGGCGGAGGGAGCCAGCCGAGGAGCGGGGAAUCUUUUGGUUUUCACCAUGGUAAAACACCAGUCGACGACUUCUCACAUCAGGGAGAAGUGGGUUUUACAUGCGGAGUCAUCGUGACUAAUUGCUGCCGCGCCUGCUCCCGUCAAUCAAAAAAUUAAAAAACCUGCCGCGCCUGCUCCCGUCAAUCAAAAAAUUAAAAAUCCUGCCGCACUCAAACACCAGAGCAAUGCCACGGUGGAUGUUUAAAUUUACCCGCCGACAAGUAGAUAAAAAAAGGGGCGAAAAAACAAAUGUGGCGGCGGCCAGGCUAAUUGAUUGAACUAGCCCAACUAGCUAGCCACCGUGCUUCACUGAUGUACUCGGCGGGAAAAGUGGUCUUUCGUGAUUUGAUGACUCAUUUACUUGCUUCGGCGAAAACGCGCGGUAGGGCAUCCCACGUCAGGAAGAAUAUAUUCGUGCACCACCCGGGAGGACCCCGAAACCACGUAUUAGGGUGUGCCAUGUCUCGGCACGGAGGAAAAAUGUGCGUGUAAAAAUUUACUGUAUCAGACAUAGUACCUAUGGUUCGACCUCGGGACCCAGCCAGUCGGUCGAAAACACCCCACUAGCCACACAACUUCACCAUGCUAACAUGGCACGGAGGAUAGGUGUGGUUAGCUCCGUCUCGACCAGCCACAACAUCUCUUGUUCUAGGCGAUUCUUCUAUUUUCCAAGCUUUUUUUAGUUGUAAUAACACCACGGCAAGCUAGCGCCGCUCUUCAUGUGUGCCCGUGCAAAGGUUAGACAAUGGACAAAAGAGAGAGAACGCAGACCUGGGACCCACCAGUAAGUGAGUCAACGGUCAUGCACGUGUUGACGAGGCACUCCCUCUACUCUAAUCAACGUAAUACUGUAUAAAAUCAAGUUAUGGGACAAAGCCAACAACCGUUGUUGUUUCAGGCUAUCGACUUACGCUUUGUAGUCCAAGUUGCCAGUUCGAAUCUCGUCUUUCAGAUUUGUUAGUUUUAGGUCCAAAUUUGAUUAAUGACAAGUGGGAACCCCGUGUGUUGUUCCGAUAUUUCAGUGUAGGAUGUUUUUUUUGAACAAACACUUUGUGCGGUUAGACAUGUAACGUCACAAGUUACACGUAUUUUGCAAGUUUACGAACAAAAAUGACAGCGGCAUAGAAUAUCACAUCUACCCCGCAGCUUAGAUGCGAUGGUGAUACGAGUUUUUACACCGUUGGAAGUGAGAUCCAAUGGCUUGGGAGUAGUCUUUGUAAUUAUGCGCAAUUUCCAAACUCUCCAAAGGUUUUUUUUGCAAAUAAAACAUUCAGGCCUCGUGUGUGCCGCUGCAUCUUGGAUCCAACGGCUCCCCGUUGCUCAUAUUAGGUGCUCCCCGUAGCUUAAUUACCCGCUACAGUGAUAUGAGCAUCUAGGUUGUAUGAUCAGUGAUUAGAUGGCACAUGCGUAGUACUUGUACUUUCCGCGCAAUUCCCAAACUCUCUCAGCCGUAUAUUGCAAAAACAUUCAAACCUCCUACUGUGGGCCGUUAGAUCUCCGUGAACUCGUAUCACCAUAGAAUCUACGGCACGGGAGCACCUCAUAUUCUCCCGUGCGAGAAAACAUAAGGUGCUCUCGCAGCUUGGAUGCUACGGUGAUAUGAGCUUCGAGGUCGUUUGAUCUCAGAUCCAAUGGCAUCUGAGAAGUCUUUGUGCUUGUAAGCAUUGGCCGAACUCUUUGUGGGCUUUUCUGCAAAAAACCAUUCGAACCACCGAGGAGGUGUUGGGUCACAAAUCCAACGGCUCCGAAGAGAUUGUAUCACCAAAGCAUCUAAGGUGUGGUAGCACACGAUAUUCUUACAUACAGGAGAAUAUGAUGUCCUCCUUCAUCUUAGAUUCUACGGUGAUACGAUCUUCGAGGUCGUUGGAUAUGGGAUCCAAGGGCAUCUGAGUAGUUUUUGUACAAAUUGUGUGCAAUUCUCAAACUCAUCAAGGUUUCCUGUAAAAAUAUUAAGACAUCAUGUGAGCUGAUAUAUCUCAGAUCUACAAGCUCCAAGCAACUUGUAUCGGCAUAUAGCAUCUAAGGUAUGGGGGCACAUGAUAUUCUCCCGGUGAGGAGGGGUGGGGGUGCACAACCAAUCGGUGGUUGGGAGGGAGGGGACAAAUAUAAUCUAAACAACCCUAAACAGAGCUUCACAAUUUUAUCUAAGGUCGAGGGGGUGACCCCCGACAAUCAUAGCUCCGCCUAAUUAAACACAACAUUUGCAUGUACUGUAGUACUAGACUUAAUAUUCAUGUUUCAAUUUCAUGUUCGUUUUAAAUAUUGAAUUGAGGACCAUGCAUGUCUUACAUUUUACUCCCUUCGUUCCUAAAUAUUAGUUUUUUUAGAGAUUUCAAGUGGACUGGCACAUACAGAUGUAUAUAGACAUAUUUUAGAGUGUAGAUUCACUCAUUUUGCUCCGUUUGUAGUCGCUUGUUGAAAUCUCUAAAAGACUAAUAUUUAGGAACAGAAGGAGUAUUUUUGAAUUCGUGUCAUACAUGCAUGGUUUGGAAAAAUAGAUGCACUCUAAUUAUUGGAUUGUUGUUGUGUUCGUGUGUGGGUGUCCGUGUGUGUGUGUGUGGUCAUAUGCUUGAUACAUACAAACUUUUCUCACCUCCAUAUUGUUCAUCUUUUAAAUUUGAAUUUGCAUUGAAAAACUUAGCAGGGAUACCAUGAAAUGUGAAAUCCACGUUGAGAUCACUAUAUCACAAACUCACUCUAAUUCAACAACUCGUCAUAAAUCAAUUACCACGUUGAGAUUAGUAUUUGCAAGGAAAAUACGGGCAUUGUAAUACACAUAGAUUCAUUCGGUAAUUUAAAAGGUUCCUUUCGUAUUCUCGAGUGGUAGGACCCAACGGCAUACCAGCCAGACCUUGGCUUGUGUUGAUCCUAAAACUGGGCUCGUGUCCUUCUGGUGGCGUGCAUGGUACGCACAUUAGGCAACCCCAACCAGUCGAGCCUCCGCGUUUGAGUCGAAAUAUCUGGCGGCCAGAAUUCCAGCCCUAGGAAAUUCCCCUCAUGUCCCCGGUCCAUAAUGACUACCGAUGAACAACGUAGGGAUGCUUUAGUAACUAGACAACGUUACCUACCGUGCCGAGCACGGUUCAAUUCCCUCGGUCGCCGCUCGCCAAGGUCACCCGUCAACUGCAUUGCCUAGUACUACUACUACUACUACACCAGGAUGAGCACAGAAUUGAGCCCGUUUGUUCAUGCCUAGUACUUGACUUAAUAUAUCAGGCAAUGCACUGGUACAGAGGGAUUAUCCUUUUGCUCUACAUAUAUAUAACUUGUCCGAAGUCUAAUUAAGCAAAAUGUUUGACCAAAUCCUUUCUUAAGAAAUACAACAGGACAAAUAUUGUUUCGAAUCCUGGAUCUUAAAUUUCAGAAAAUCCAAAAGUGACCAUGAAUUCUAUAAACUGAGCAUGGUCACGUGAAAUGGCACAAAUAUUACUUCGUAAUUUUUUUCUUCAAUUUGAGACAAGUUGCUUAUGACAAGUUGCACAAAUGAAGAGCCAAGGUAUUUUGGAACAAAGACCUGUCACGUUAAGGCGAACGCUUUCACUAUUGAAACCGUGGGCGUUUACGUGCCGCCAUGAGUCCCGCUUCUCAUCGGCAGGUGCCGUCCGAGCAAGCGUGUGAGUCGACGGGAGGCGUGCGAGCAGACCGCUGCGCUGGCUGACAGGGAGGCGUGCGAGCAGACCGCUGUGCAGGCUCACCGGGAGGCGAGCCCUUUGACCAGGCUCCGCCGUCCACCUUCGUCUCAACUGCUCCCACUUUUAAUGUCACCGGCGCCACAGUUUAAAAUCAACCCCGCACUACCCGGUAUCGCUACCAUCUUCUCUCUUCCUCUCCGAUUCUCCUGUCGUCUACCUCCAACCAGCCUGACCUAAACGUACGCCAUGCCGCAUCACGAUGGUCUGCCCUUAAUCUUCCAGUUUCCUGAGGAAGGCACCCAGCCGGAGUCUCAAGAACAUAAGGCACUUUGGGACGAGCUUGAACUGGCCUUGCGGGAAGACGCCGCGCCUGUCCCCGCUCCCGUUCCGGCUCCCGUCGCCCCGACUGCGCCAGCGCCCAUCCCCGUGGCAUUGAUGGGCUGGGAGCCGCACAUUGUCGUCGAGCUUGAUGCCAUGGGGUUCCACGAGGUCCCCGCCGACUUUCACGCGCCCUUGCACCUGCCAGCGCAUGCGCCUGCGCGUGCACUGACGCGCACGCCUGUGCCGGUGCACCUGCCAGCGCAUGCGCCUGCGCGUGCACUAAUGUGCGCGCCUGUGCUGGUGCCCGUGCACACGUAUGUCUCCGCCGCGCCGUUGACAGUGCCUGUCCCCGCGCGGAUGGUAGUGUCCCCCUCAGCGGCAUGGAUGGCCGCCGUCGACCGCUUCCUUGCACCAACGCUAGUCGCCUCCUCCCGCCAGUUGACUCGCUCCGAAGUCCACAACAUUCUGGUCUUCCUUGAAGUUAGGCCUACGUCCAGGAGUACGCCAACAACGGCGCAAGGCGCCGCCGUCGCCGUCGGUCAGUGGCCCGACGACACACAGAGCACGGCAGAGGAGCUGCUUCCCACCGCAAGACGCCCCCGCCACCGCCGCGUAAUCUAAAUUUGCCAUGAAAAACGUUCGGAUUGCCAUGCUUAAAAUCUGAACGUUUGUCAUUUCCGUUUAUUUUAGAUCGAUCGUCGUAUGAUUUAAAGUUGGAGUUAGACUGAACGAAAUCUAUGGUUUGAUCGAUUGAAUGUUCUGCUACAGCCGUAUCAAAUUAAAUAUAAAACGUCAUCAAGCCACAUGUAUUCCUUGUCAUCCAACGACCUAGACUGCUUCAAUGUCGAGCGCUCAACACGUUUAGCGUGCAGUUAAUUUCAUGCCAAAAAUAGUGCUAAUCACAUAAUAACACGCAAAUAAUAUCCUACUUAAUAUCCGCAUGCACUUAAUAUACUUCCAAAUUAACGUGCAUUACACGUACACACUGACUAGUGCUGCUAGCACGUGAAACUGGUGGCGUAACUUGUGAAUGCGUCCAAUAUGGUCAACGGUAACAUCGGCCGCGAGUUCUUCGUGUUUGCCCGUGCGUCUAAACGCAGAAGGGGAGGAGAGAGAGAGAGCACACAUGGAACCCACCAGUAAGUGAAGGCGAAUAGUACUAAAAAUAAUAUUACAUGUUAUUAAUUAAAUAGGCUGUGGUAACAUAAAAACAUUAUGUGAACAAAGGGAGGUACAACAAACAUUGUUGUUCUACAUAUGUUGCCUAUUGACGUGCGGCUUGAAGGCCCUGGUCGCAUGUUCGAUCCUCAUCCUUUAUUUUUUAAUUUGUAUACGGGUCCAAAUUUGUUUCAUGACAUGUGGGCCCCUCGGUGUGUAGUUUGUAGCACUUUAAUUUGUGGGUCCAAAUUUGUUCCAUUCCAAGUGGACUAUCGGUGUGUAGUUUUGUAGCUUAUUUAUAAUAACUAGCAAAGUGGCCCGCUCGAUGCGCGGGCUAGGAUUUUACAAAUGCAAUUUACGUUGAUCAUUGACGUUUUUUUUGCGACUGAAAAAGAAUUUUAUUUCUCAAUCAUCUGGUUGUCAUGCGUAGAAAGAUGGGGAUGUCGGACGAAAGUUGGGACCAAGCUUGGUGACAUAUACAAAUAAAUUCCAUUUGCAAACAUAAUAUUAUCUUAGAUAUAUUUGGUUUUCUUGUUGACAUUUGAAUAUAUAUGUUUCACAUGAGUCAUGUACCUACAUGUUAUGUGUUUUUCCACUAAUUGUAUUUCUUUAUGAUCAAAACCAUUGCACAAUUUAUGUCUAUGUGCUUUUAUUGUCUCCCUGGCGUGGUUCUCUAUUUUAAGAAUAUUUUUGUGUAAGCACGCAGUUGUUACUGGUUUCAUAUAGGCAUAGGUAAAUUUCCUAAGGACUUAAAAAUGACACAUUCAAUUACUUAUGACCUGUAGAUGUGUGUACCAAUACUCUUCUAGUUAUGUAUAUAUACAAAUAUAAAUGAAGUUAUAGCUAUUAACAUGCAAUAUUAAAAUAAUUUUUCUAGUAGCAAUACUAUCAAGGACAAUAAAGUUGCAAAGUUUGUAUGGUUUCAUCAGCAAGAUAAUAGCGAUUCAUACAGUGUUAUUCGUUAAUUAGAGACAUUUCAACAAACAUGUCCUACAAGCUAUGCGUCCCUUCCAUGAGACAUAACACCGUUGACUGAAAACAAAUAGAAGAUACAAAUAUCAAAAAGUACUACAAACUUAGUUUGCAAAGUGAAGCUAAGAAAGAUGAACUGAAAAGGUCAAUAGAUUUCCAUAUAGUAGUACAAUGGAGACGAAUAAUAUUUUGAAAUUAUUGUCAUAUCACAUAAUGUCGAUGAGAUUAGAAAUUUACAAUGAUCAACUUUGCGCAAGCAUUGUUUUUCUUAUCAUGUAGAAGAGACAACUCUUCUAUAGUAAGGAUUUGAAACUAUAUGAAUUGCCAGUUUUUGCUAUUAUAAGAACCUCUGAGAAUAGCAAGGAGAAGCGGAGAAGUUUAAAUCUUUUUCUAUGCCCGUGUCUUCUGUCGAGAGGCAUGUAUAUAUAUAUUUGGUUAUAUUUUUUCUUUAGGGGUAAAUAUAACUAAGUUUUUUUAUUCAUAGAUGACCAUACAACGAAACCAUCGGAGCAAUCCAUGGCUUUAAUAACACUCUUAUCCUCCAAAUACCAUGACAUACUUUGCCCAAUCAAAUCUGGAUAUACAUAAUGAUGGUCGCAUAAUAGGAAAAUAACACAGACAGGACAUGUACGCUUUCUGCAAAUAGGAUUAUAGGUGAAGCAAUUAGCAUUGUACUUUUCCCGCAAACUUUUUUUAGCACUGUACUUCACCAACCAUUCUCGUGUAGGCAUGUAUCAAUACAGCCCAGCCAACGUCCUUGCGCAUGAAGCCAUGGAUACCGAUAGUCCAAGAGGAGUCCUGGAAUAUCUCCCCUGUUGUUCUUUCGAUGCUCCAACCGCCAUCGUUUGUGAUUCUCCGUAUGGAACUGGCGGCCAAGAACAGUAUGGUCGCCAUGCACCAACUUAAGUCCAUGGUGGUGAUAAUAAAAGUGCUCCGUUCCUUCUCCUGUAACAUUAGCCUGAAGGUCAUGAACAACAACAUAUAAUGGCUGCCCGCCGCGAGCCCCGAUGGUGAUCCAGGUAGCACAUACUGCCGAUGAGAUUACAAAUUUACAAUGAUCAACUUUGCGCAAGCAUUGUUUUCCCUAUCUUGUAAUAUGUGACAUAUAUCUUAUGUCAUAGGGAUCUGAAACUAUAUGAAUUUCCUGAUUGUAAUUAAUUAAGAACCUCUGACAAUAGAAAGGAGAAGAAAAGAAGAUGUAAAUCAUUUUCUAAGCCCAUCUUAUAUAGUGUACUCGUUUAAAUGGACAAUGAAGAUAUUCGGGCCAUCAUGACACUAACGUUAUUGCUUGACUUCACAAAACAGAUAUCUAAAAGCAUAGAUUGGCAAUGUUUAGGCAUCUUUAAUAUACUAUGGAGUAUAAGAUGGUGUAACAUCAUUGGUAAUAAUUAUUGUAGAAGAUUUUGAACCAUCUAUAUAUAAUUUAAUAUCUACAAUUAGUUUAAACAUAAAUCAUAACUAAUUCUUUGGUUCAUGACUAUUAAACUAUACCUAUGUGUGAUAGGCCGCCAGUAUCGAUAUAUAUAGGACCAUAAUUUAUCUCAGAACUAUUAGCAUGUCUUGAAUGCAAGAGCAGCUAGAAGAAUAAUACACUUCUUACAAACAUAUAUAUUACUUUCUGUCAAGCAGUUGGUACAGAGUGUGCAUCAUAACCUCAUAACUGAAGCAUGAUAACAAAUAAAGGUAAGCCUUUACGCCUUUACCUUCAGAUUUUGUUGUCAGAUCUAUGUGGUUGGCUCUAGAAAAUAUUUUUCUCAACAACUCAAGAUGCCUUUACCACAAUACAGAAAGUUCACAAACCUGCUCUGAUUUCUUUGAGAGCUUUUCAUAGCCAUUACUACAAGAAAAAUAAGAUGUGAUAAUAUGCAUAUAAGGAAAUACUGUAGAUGAUUUUUUUGAGAGAUCUUUGCGCCUAUGGAAAUCGACAUAAUGGACAAAAGAGAAACUGAACUACAAAAGAAAAAUAAAGAAAACAUCUUGUAAGUAACUAUAGAUCAGACCCAUAUGGCAGUUUCUUUUUAGAAUGUGCAUCUAUCUCUUUUUUCUGAUUGAAAGGACACCGGAAGCUCGGUACACCACCAAGUAUACACAUACCAUGAUUUACCUCACACAUGUGCCAAUGGAGAGAACGGACACUGAACUGCAUAUACCUUAACAAAAAUAAAAACUGCUUGUGAAUAACUACAGAUGAGAAUGAUAUUGAGAUUUCUCCUUGGAACCUGCAACUCCUUCCUAUGUUUGAAUGAAUACCAGAAAGAUAAUAUACCACAAGUACAUGGUACCAUGAUUUUCUCAUCUGAGUUAAAAUAAUAUGAAUUUUUAAUAAAGAUUUACCUGCAGACUGCGCUGGUUGACUGGGAAUGCGUGGCCUGCUAUCUCGAGAAAUUCAUGUAUGGCAGCCUGAGCGCGUGAAGCGAGGUCGUGAAUUAUGAACCCAGCAAUCGAGUUCAUAUCAAUCUGAAAAGGUACAGUGCGAGGCAAUUGGGUUCAGAUCGAUCUGGAAAGCAAAGUUGCGAUGGCAAGAAAACCAACAGAGCGCUGCUGGAAGUAAGUUUUUAUAUCCUUCAAAUAUGUAAUGUUAUAUACUCCGUUCAUAAUUCAAUUUAGUUCACAUCCAACCAUACCUGGGCACAUGGAGUAGUGCAAGAUUGAUCAAUAAUUCACGUGUAGUUAUAGCACAGAUUCGCAACAUAGUUGACAAAGACCUUUUAACUCGAUUGCCAUCUCAGCAAAAAAAGUGCAUAGAUACUGACAGAUUGGUGAAAAAUUAAAAGAUUGGAGCUAGAUUGCAGCCAAUGUUCACCAAUUAAUUAUUAUUAGAUCAAUAAAUCCCUCCUAUUUAAAGAUAAAAUAGUUGAAACCAAAUACCUCAUAUCUAAUUUUGCGACAGACGGGAUCUAGGAGCUUAGCCUUCUUAUCGUGAAUCGUGAUAGGAUCUUUGGAUGCGAUGGAGACGUAGAGAACAACACAUCCACGGCCAGUGCAGUAGUUGAAGCUAGGGCCGACGUGAUCAGACCUAAGGUAGUGCACGGGGGAGCCCUGCAUAUAGAUCAAUCAGGUAGGCGUCAUACUGCCAUGGGCGUAGUAGGGGAGGUGCAGAUGAUAGUUGAGAAAGAUACCUUGGAUCCAGAGGAAGACUGGCAGCGGCGCAAGGUGCAGAGAACGUUGGAGACGGCUACGUGAGAUGUCAGGGACAUUAUAAUGGCGGCGGAGGUGAUAGAAGGAUCGAUCGGGGCGAGCAAGCCAUUAGAAGGCGGCGGCUGCAAUUCUUUUGGGGGCACGAUUUGUUUUUUUUAUUGAUGAAGGAAGGUCCCUGGGAUAUUUGUUUUUUUUUCUUGGUGAAGGAAGGUCCCUGGGAUAUUUAUUCUUUUACUAUUUUUAAGCUGUCUAUUCUAGUACUAUUGAGGGUACGGGAGGGUACCAUAACAUGCAGUUUUUCCUUUAAAUAAAAGGUAGGUAUUCGUGUAAUGGCAAUGGUGAGUAAUUUUCUUUCACUUAAAUCUAAUGGCUAUUAAUCUUUGAUAUAUAAAAUAGAUGGUCGGAUGUUUCUAAUUUUUAUGGGAUUUUCUAGCAUAUUUCUCUUUUAUUUGGUAAACCCAUCAAUCUCUUUUUAUAUAUAAAUAGAUUAAAGAGAACAACAGAGUUUUUUGCAAUAAUACCAUGGUGCGACGUUGAAGGCGAGAAAGGACGUGCGAGAGAGCGAUGACCGAGCCAUAGGGAAAUCAACUAGGGGAGUUGCGGGGGUUGCAACGGUGUUUCGAGUAGUUGUGGGCCGAAUGCUACGAAAAUAUAAUCUAAACCGACCGGAAUAAAUGCCUACACAAAUUAAUCCAAGGUUGGAGUGCCCCUCGCAAUGUAAAUAGCUCCGGCUUUGCGAGGGAUGGAGAGGUAGCUUCAAUGUGUGGAAGAUACGGCGUGAGAAAGCGAGGUCAAUCGAGAGACAUAUAGAUAGAGAGACAAAGUGAGUGUGGUCCGACAUUCAUUGAACAAAUAUAUAUGCUCUGGAGAGAUAUUGUCCGAUUGAGCUUUUGGCAAGGGUGAGGGCUGUAAGAUUGAGCUUGAGAGAUGAUCCAGUCACAGACGUGUAGAUAUAUUUUGUGCGUGGGAGGAAGCAAGGUCAAUCGAUCACAUAGGGUCGUCGUGCGAUCGAAAGAGUGGGACGGGUUGGAGAGAGUGACCUAGAUAGACAAUGUGCGUGAGAGAGUAUACAAUGUGAAUAAGUCGAAUUGGGCUCAAACAUGGUGAUAUAUGGUUUUUGUCCGAGAAAUAGCGAGGUCAAUCGAGACAUACAAAGAGAGAGAGAGAGAGAGAGAGAGAGAGAGAGAGAGCAUGGCCCGCCAUGAGGUCGAAAGAGUGGGGGAGGCUUCGAUGGACUGACCUAGAUAGACAAUCUGCGUGAGAGAGAGUAUAGAGUGUGUCGAUCGAGGCCCGAACAGGGAGAUAUAUCAUUUGUGUGUGAAAGAAAACGAGGUUAAACGAGACUCAGAUAAAGAGAGCGAGAUUGAGCGAGUGUGGCCCGCCGUGCGGAAGAAAGAGUGAGACAGUCUCGAGGCAGUGACCUAGAUAGACAACAUGCGUGCGUGCGCACGAGAGGUUGGGGGGCUAGAUAGGCAAUGCAUGUAUUUAGCGCGAGAGGGUGAGAGGGAGAGGGAGAGAGAGAGAGAGCUCGGCAUGGGGUGGAAUGGCGGGUGUGUGAGGUAAAUACAUUUCGUAGCAGAGUGGAAAAAGGGGGUUGUGUAGUUGAGAGAGUUAGAGAUCGAAACAUGGAGAGAAAGAAUGGAUGUGUGUUGGAAACCGAUANNNNNNNNNNNNNNNNNNNNNNNNNNNNNNNNNNNNNNNNNNNNNNNNNNNNNNNNNNNNNNNNNNNNNNNNNNNNNNNNNNNNNNNNNNNNNNNNNNNNNNNNNNNNNNNNNNNNNNNNNNNNNNNNNNNNNNNNNNNNNNNNNNNNNNNNNNNNNNNNNNNNNNNNNNNNNNNNNNNNNNNNNNNNNNNNNNNNNNNNNNNNNNNNNNNNNNNNNNNAUCAAUGUUUCAAUUCGGUGUACAUUGUAAGAUUUGAACUGAGGACCAUGCAUAUGGGUAAUUAUUUCGACUUCGUGCCAUACUAGGUUUCGAAAAGUUGACAUUGACUCGAUUUGUUGUGCUAUUUUGUAGGUCAUAUGUUUGAAUCCAUCCAAAAGUUUUCUCACUACCAUGGUGUUCAUCAUAUACAUAUCACUGGUAGAAAAAAGGCCUUUAGUCCCGGUUCGCAAAGGCCUUUAGUCCCGGCUGUGCAACCGGGACUAAAUAUGCGCGACUAAAGACCCCCCCUUUAGUCGCGCCUCUUACGAACCGCGACUAAAGGCUUUAGUCCCGGUUCUCGUGGCUAACCGGGACUAAAGGCCCGUCCACGUGGGCGCCAGGGGUCCGUCGGGACGGAGGACCUUUAGUCCCGGUUCUCGUGGCUAACCGGGACUAAAGGCCUCCUCCGCAGGUUUAGGGUUUUAGCCCCCCUAAACCUGGUUUCUUUUUAAUUUGUAGUGUUUUAUUUCUUUUAUAUUUUAUUUUGUGUUUUAUUUUAAUUUUGAUGAAGUUUCAGUACACAUAUUCUACGCUACUAUAUACAUGCAUAUGAAAUUUCAAACAAGAAGAAUUCAAGAGGAAUAUAUAAUAUAUAUUCAAUCUCGGGUGACCAUAUACAACUUCGAACAAGUUUCCAUACACAGUUAGGAUGGAUGACCAUAUACAACUUCGAAUAAGUCCUCGGUAUAGUGUUCUCCUUUAGGAUUGAUGACUUCCCUCAUGAAAAAUCCUGCUAAUUCAUCUUGAAUUGGUCGGAAGCGAGCUUCUGGACUAAGCCUCCUCCGCAAGUUAUCCGUCGCCUUCCGCACGCUAUCCGAUGCCUUCCGCUCAGAGGUGUGUCUCCGGAUGUUCUCACAAACAUAGUAUCCACAUAGAUUGGUCCCCGGUGGCUGCUUAUCCACAUUAACUAACCUUCUAAAAUCUAGCUCAUGUUUGAAUUCACCGACAAUUUCUUCUGAGAACCGUCUCCAAACCCUACAGGGCAAAGAAAAUUAAAUGAACAAGGGAGUUAUUAGUUACUUGAUAUUAGGAAAUGAACGAAAGUGACCGAUCGAUAUAGAGCUCAAAUGAUUGAAAAUAAUUACUUUUGCAGCAUUUUUCUCAUGUCGGCCCAACGCUUUGGAUCCGAAUCCAUAGAGUCCAUGAUUAGAACUCUGGAGGUGUGAAGUUCAAUAUUUAGCAGAAUCCAGUGGAACCUGCGGACACGUUACAUGCACAGUCAUGCAUAACUCAUCGAUUAGACAUACCAUGCAUGGAGUAAACAAAAGAGAAUGGGCACAAGAGAGAAACACUCACCCAAAAUGGUAAGGAAAUAGAAUAUGACUUUUGAGUUGAUGCUUUCUAAGAAACUUGUACAAGUCUUUCUCCAUGUCUUCGGGGUGAUGUUGUAACACAUAUCCAUUAACGAUAUGUGGGUCAAUGAACCCAACAUCAUGGAUGUUUCUUAUUUUGCAUUCCCAAAUCUUCAAUCUGCAUAAUAGCGUAUGCAACAAUAUAGUUAGGACAAUAUAUAUAUAUAUAUAUAGUGCAGGCAAUGAAGAACGAGAUGAGGUAGAAAUAAAUCACUUACAGAACGUAGCAACUCAGGAUAGAUUUGUCGAGCUCGCGCAGAUUGAACAGCUGGAACAAUUCACUCAUAUGAACUUGUACAGAGUACCGUUUGGUGUGAUGCUCCUCUGUAACAUCCGCAUAAACAUAUUCUUUGUCGGCCCAUGUUAUGAAUUGCUUGUACCAACGUAGCAGAUUUCGCAUUUGUGGUGGUAGACUCUUUUCCCGCGCAGGCUCGACGAGAGGCCCAUUCCGCACAUAUUGUAAUGCUAUCUCACAUACUGGCGCAUCCUCAAGGCCUAAGAAGGCACGAAGAGUCAAACCCAUCUCAGACGCUUGUUUCAUGGCACUCGCUACAGUCAAUCCAAGUGCUGCCGCAGCUGCUAUGAUCUCGGGGUCCUCUUCCGGACCGGCUUUCACUAUGAGCGGGGGGAUCGAUUGUUUAUUCUGCAUCCCGAGCUGGUCAACUAGUUUCCCGCUUUUUUUACUUUCUUCUUUCUCCUCCUUCAAUAUUUUUGCUUGCCUACGAAGUUCAUGUCCAUAGUCGUCAGGCAUAUUCAGCUCGGCUUGGGACGGUGUCGUCAAAAAAUCCUUAGCCCACUUCUUUUGCUUCUCAGUGAAUACUUGCUUGGGGUCAGGCUCUUUUUUCGCCUUCGUAUCCGCCUUCCAUUUCUCAUAAUGAGCAGACGCGGCCAAUUUGGUUUCAGCUUCACUAAGUUCCCAAGGCCUUGGGAGGAGAGGCUUCAGUGAUGGCUCCGGUACCCUUGUGGUCUUAGGUACAUAAAGGUCCGGGUUAAUAGUCCAGGAGCGGGUUUCCUUGCUGUCCGCCUGCUUCUGCUUCUUCGCCGGAGGUGGAUUGGGGGGCGUCGUACCCGCCGGAGGAGGAUUGGGGGGCGUCGUACCCGCCGGAGGUUGUGGAUCGGGGGACGGCGUCGAAUGGCGUGAAGGAGGUGUAGGUGAACCACCACGACCACCACCACCGCCACCACCACCACCACCACCACCAUCGGAGGGGGGUGGACUUGCUAGCCUUGGCGCCUCGCCUGGAAACACUAUGUACUUCUUUUUCCAUAGAAUGAUCUGGCGCUUGACAUCUCCAAGUCUUCUCUCCCCUUCGGGUGUAGCUUUGUCAAUCUCCAGGUCCUCAAACCCUUGGACUAUGUCUUCCACCGUGACACGAGCAUAGCCAUAUGCAAUGGGGUUGUUGUGGUGGAGUGCUCCAGGUGUACAGGGUAAAGCACUGCCGCUAGCUACCUUCGUGGAAACGUUCCCCACGGGAUAAUGCAGAUCACAUUCUUUCAUCUCCUUUACAUCAUCCACGGGGUAGUGAGGCUCCGGUGCACGAAUCUCGAUCAUCGGUGCACUAGCACCAGGCGGGGCAUCCGUGGAAGCCAUGCUGCUUCUCCGCUACUGGCUUCCGCGAUGCGCUUCAUGAUCUUCAUGCGGCCCUGCAGCCGAUUUUUCUUUUACUAGUGCAUGCACGGUCUGCUUCAACUCAUGGAGUUCCGAUGCAAACUUCGCCAUAAGAUCUGCAUCCCGGUCCGUCUUUCUCUUACGGCUUCUGUAACAAUAUGGGUCAUUGUCCUGGGAAAACCCUACUUUCCACGGAACUUUGCCUUUGCCUCGUACACGUCCUCCGUGUUCAUCAUUCCCGAGGGCUGUUGUCAGUGCGUCUUUCUCUCUGUUGAACUUGAUCAAGCCCUCUUGAGCUUGGGUCAUUGCGUCAAUAAGGGCUUGGGUGGGAGCAAACUUUUUCUUCCGGUGAACACACACCCCUGUCUCCGGGUCUAGCGAUCCCCCAUGCCCGUACCACCAGCUUUUGGCCCUUGGGUCCCAUCCCUCUAUACCUAGAGGGAUUCCUCGCACCCUCAGGUCCUCCUCCAUCUUCUGCCACCUAGGCUCCGAAAGGCGGUAUCCUCCUGGCCCCAUAAUAUGAUGGAACUUUUUCUUACUCGCAUUAUCCUUAUUUUUUUUGAUAUUUCCUUGAAAUGCUCCGAUUGCUUUUGCCUCACAAAUUCUGGCCAAUCAUCUUUCAGUUUCUCAUGUUGUCCAUUGAAAUCCGGAGUCUUGCCCUUGUUGACAUAUUCACGGGUUAAAUUUUUCUUGAAGUUCCGGAAUGCUUCGCCCAUCUUCUGAAGAGCGAACUCUUUAACUAGCCUCCUCCUCUCACGUCCACCCGGAACCUCGUUACCGAAUUCAUCGACUUUGUUGUAUUCCGGAGGUAGAAUGAAAUGUUCCAUAAGCUUUCUCCAGCAAUCCUUUUUCGUUCUCUUGUCGACAAAACUGAAACCAAGACGUGCCUUCUUUGGCUCCUUCCAUUCCUGGACGGUGAUCGGGACGUUGUCUCUAACAACGACUCCGCAUUGGUUGAUAAACUUUGAGGUGUGCUGUAGGGGCUUGCCGGUUUCACUGACAAACUCAAUGGCAUAUGUUUCUCCUGUUUUCAUCGCCUUGGAUUUGCCACGCUUUGUCGUACUCGAUCCGGCCGAGGGCUAAAAAAAGAAAGAGAGUCGCGCGCGUUAAUACAUAUGUAUUCACAUUUCAGUAAGUUUGUAUCACAAGAGGCUCAAUGUAUAUAUAUACCUCGCCGGAGGUGGUUGCUACUUGCAAUUCGAGAUCGUCGUUUGUUGACGAUUGACCUCCGUCGACAAUGUCCGUUCCUUCACCUUCUUGAUUAUCGCCUUCUUGAUCACCGUCAAGGUUCAGAAAAGAAGAGACUACAUCCUCUUCUUGCUCAUAUUCUGAGCCCGGCACAUAAGGAAUCUCGUUGUUGAUGAUGCCCAUUAAAUAACGUUCAGCCUCCGGAUCCCUAAGCGGCUCGGCUCUAUCAUCCGCCAUAUGUCACUCCUGCAUGUAGUAAAAAAAAAUUUAAGUAUAAAGGAAUUAAAAAAUAAGAUUAAGGGGACAUAGAGGAGGAGGAAUUAAAAAAUAAGAUUAUUGAGCACUGCCAAGUAUUUUGUUUUUCCUUUUCUUUUUCCUUUUCUUCUUCCUUUUCUUUUUCCUUUUCUUUUUCCUUUCUUCUUCCUUUUCUUUUUCCUUUUCUUCUUCCUUUUCUUCUUCCUUUUCUUUUUCCUUUUCUUCUUCCUUNNNNNNNNNNNNNNNNNNNNNNNNNNNNNNNNNNNNNNNNNNNNNNNNNNNNNNNNNNNNNNNNNNNNNNNNNNNNNNNNNNNNNNNNNNNNNNNNNNNNNNNNNNNNNNNNNNNNNNNNNNNNNNNNNNNNNNNNNNNNNNNNNNNNNNNNNNNNNNNNNNNNNNNNNNNNNNNNNNNNNNNNNNNNNNNNNNNNNNNNNNNNNNNNNNNNNNNNNNNNNNNNNNNNNNNNNNNNNNNNNNNNNNNNNNNNNNNNNNNNNNNNNNNNNNNNNNNNNNNNNNNNNNNNNNNNNNNNNNNNNNNNNNNNNNNNNNNNNNNNNNNNNNNNNNNNNNNNNNNNNNNNNNNNNNNNNNNNNNNNNNNNNNNNNNNNNNNNNNNNNNNNNNNNNNNNNNNNNNNNNNNNNNNNNNNNNNNNNNNNNNNNNNNNNNNNNNNNNNNNNNNNNNNNNNNNNNNNNNNNNNNNNNNNNNNNNNNNNNNNNNNNNNNNNNNNNNNNNNNNNNNNNNNNNNNNNNNNNNNNNNNNNNNNNNNNNNNNNNNNNNNNNNNNNNNNNNNNNNNNNNNNNNNNNNNNNNNNNNNNNNNNNNNNNNNNNNNNNNNNNNNNNNNNNNNNNNNNNNNNNNNNNNNNNNNNNNNNNNNNNNNNNNNNNNNNNNNNNNNNNNNNNNNNNNNNNNNNNNNNNNNNNNNNNNNNNNNNNNNNNNNNNNNNNNNNNNNNNNNNNNNNNNNNNNNNNNNNNNNNNNNNNNNNNNNNNNNNNNNNNNNNNNNNNNNNNNNNNNNNNNNNNNNNNNNNNNNNNNNNNNNNNNNNNNNNNNNNNNNNNNNNNNNNNNNNNNNNNNNNNNNNNNNNNNNNNNNNNNNNNNNNNNNNNNNNNNNNNNNNNNNNNNNNNNNNNNNNNNNNNNNNNNNNNNNNNNNNNNNNNNNNNNNNNNNNNNNNNNNNNNNNNNNNNNNNNNNNNNNNNNNNNNNNNNNNNNNNNNNNNNNNNNNNNNNNNNNNNNNNNNNNNNNNNNNNNNNNNNNNNNNNNNNNNNNNNNNNNNNNNNNNNNNNNNNNNNNNNNNNNNNNNNNNNNNNNNNNNNNNNNNNNNNNNNNNNNNNNNNNNNNNNNNNNNNNNNNNNNNNNNNNNNNNNNNNNNNNNNNNNNNNNNNNNNNNNNNNNNNNNNNNNNNNNNNNNNNNNNNNNNNNNNNNNNNNNNNNNNNNNNNNNNNNNNNNNNNNNNNNNNNNNNNNNNNNNNNNNNNNNNNNNNNNNNNNNNNNNNNNNNNNNNNNNNNNNNNNNNNNNNNNNNNNNNNNNNNNNNNNNNNNNNNNNNNNNNNNNNNNNNNNNNNNNNNNNNNNNNNNNNNNNNNNNNNNNNNNNNNNNNNNNNNNNNNNNNNNNNNNNNNNNNNNNNNNNNNNNNNNNNNNNNNNNNNNNNNNNNNNNNNNNNNNNNNNNNNNNNNNNNNNNNNNNNNNNNNNNNNNNNNNNNNNNNNNNNNNNNNNNNNNNNNNNNNNNNNNNNNNNNNNNNNNNNNNNNNNNNNNNNNNNNNNNNNNNNNNNNNNNNNNNNNNNNNNNNNNNNNNNNNNNNNNNNNNNNNNNNNNNNNNNNNNNNNNNNNNNNNNNNNNNNNNNNNNNNNNNNNNNNNNNNNNNNNNNNNNNNNNNNNNNNNNNNNNNNNNNNNNNNNNNNNNNNNNNNNNNNNNNNNNNNNNNNNNNNNNNNNNNNNNNNNNNNNNNNNNNNNNNNNNNNAUCAGAAAAAUAAAACUAAUUCAUUUGAAAAUCUUAAAAAUACAAAUAAUAUAUAAAAAAAUUCAGUUCAUCGAUCCCUUGAAGGUUUGACAAAAGGUUUGAUACAUCAUUCAGUUCAUCGACCAAAUACAAAUCAUCCGGAUUCGCCAUCGUACGUUUUAAUUCACAUGAUCCAUUCAACAAAGUUUGGUACAAUAAAUUAUUACACAUCAAUUCUUCGCUUGUGUCCCUGCUUGCUUACGAUUGUGCCGUAUCCAUGGAGCAUCCUCAUCAUUUAACUUAAUGCUUGGGUCAGUGUUCACUUUGAAGGGCGGAAUUUCACCAAACAUAUUAUAAUCUUCUGACAUGUCUGUCUUGUCCUCCACUCCCACGAUGUUUCUUUUCCCUGAAAGAACAAUGUGGCGCUUUGGAUCAUCGCAUGAUGUACUAAUCGUUUUCUUAUCUUUCCGUUUCCUCGGUUUGCUACUCAUGUCCUUCAAAUAAAAAACCUGAGCGACAUCUUUGUCAAGGACGAAUGGUUCGUCAAGGUAACCAAGAUUGUUGAAAUCCACCAUUGUCAUUCUGUAUUGCUCGUCCACCUUUACCCCACCUCCUGUUAGCUUGAACCAUUUGCACCGGAACAAAGGGACCUUAAAGGAGGGUCCAUAGUCAAGUUCCCAUAUCUCCUCUAUGUAACCAUAAUAUGUGACCUUUCGCCCAUUCUCGGUUGCUGCAUCAAAGCGGACACCACUGUUUUGGUUGGUGCUCUUUUUAUCUUGGGCGAUGGUGUAAAAUGUAUUCCCAUUUAUCUCGUACCCUUGGAAAAUCGUUAUAGUCGAAGAUGGUUUCUUGGCCAACAUGUACAGCUGAUCUCCAACAUCAUCAUUGUCAUUCAUUAAAUGUUUUCGCAACCAACUGCCGAAAGUCUCCAUGUGGGCCUUUCUAAUCCAGGAUUCAGGCUUCCCCAGGUUGUCCGAGUGUAAAAUAUUCUUGUGUUGCUCGAAGUACGGAGCCACCAAGCUGGAAUUUUGCAGAACUGUGUUGUGUGCUUCAGUCAUAGAAUGACCGUCCAUACAUAUCGUGGAUUUCCUUCCGAUCUUGCCUUUUCCACUUAGUCUCCCCUCGUGCCGCGAUUGAGGAAUACCAAUCGGCUUAAGGUCAGGAACAUAGUCAAUACAAAACUCAAUUACCUCCUCAUUUCCAUAGCCCUUGACGAUGCUUCCUUCUGGCCUAGCACGGUUACGAACAUAUUUCUUUAAUACUCCCAUGAACCUCUCAAAGGGGAACAUAUUGUGUAGAAAUACAGGACCGAGAAUGGAAAUCUCUUCGACUAGGUGGAGCAGGAGGUGCGUCAUGAUAUCGAAGAAGGAUGGUGGGAACACCAACUCGAAACUGACCAGGCAUUGGACCACAUCGUUCUGUAACCGUGGUAGAUCUUCUGGAUUGAUUACCUUCUGAGAGAUUGCAUUGAGGAAUGCACAUAGCUUCACAAUGGCUACUCGAACAUUUUCCGGUAGGAGCCCCCUCAAAGCAAUCGGAAGCAAUUGCGUCAUAAUCACGUGGCAGUCGUGCGACUUCAGGUUUUGGAACUUUUUCUCCGCCAUGUUUAUUAUUCCCUUUAUAUUUGACGAGAAGCCAGACGGGACCUUCAUACUGCUCAGGCAUUCAAAAAAAUGACCUUCUCUUCUUUGGUAAGAGCGUAGCUGGCACGACCUUGAAACCAUUCCGGAUGCCGGUCAUCUGGGUCUUUCAAAAGUUGCUAGUCCUGCCGUGCUUCCUUUGUAUCAUUUGUCUUCCCAUACACGCCCAAGAAGCUUAGCAGGUUCACGCAAAUAUUCUUCGUAACAUGCAUCACGUCGAUUGCAGAGCGGACAUCUAGGACUUUCCAAUAUUCUAGCUCCCAAAAUAUAGAUUUCUUCUUCCACAUGGGUGCGUGCCCGUCAACUCCCCGCGGAACUGAUUGUCCGCCAGGACCCUUUCCAAAGAUGACUUUCAAAUCCUUGACCAUAUCAAAUAUCUCAGCACCAGUACGUUCCGCAGGCUUCGGCCGGUGAUCUGCCUUGCCGUUGAAAUGCUUGCCUUUCUUUCUUACGUUGUGAUUUCGGGGAAGAAAUCGACGAUGACCCAGGUACACGUUCUUCUUACAAUUAACCAAACGUACACUUUCAGUCUCAUGUAAGCAGUGUGUGCAUGCAUUGUAUCCCUUAUUUGUCUAUCCCGAAAGGUUACUGAGAGCAGGCCAAUCGUUGAUGGUUACAAAAAGCAACGCUCGCAGGUCAAAUUCCUCUCCUUUGUGCUCAUCCCAGACACGUACACCAGGUCUGGCCCACAACUGUAAAAAUUCAUCAACUAAUGGCCUUAGGUACACAUCGAUGUCGUUCCCGGGUUGCUUUGGACCUUGGAUGAGCACUGGCAUCAUAAUGAACUUCCGCUUCAUGCACAACCAAGGAGGAAGGUUGUAGAUGCAUAGAGUCACGGGCCAGGUGCUAUGGCUGGAGCUCUGCUCGCCAAAUGGAUUCAUGCCAUCAGUACUUAGACCAAAUCUUAUGUUCCUUGCGUCAGCUGCAAAAUCUUUGAACACUCUGUCGAUCUUUCUCCGUUGCGUUCCAUCAGCGGUGUGUCUCAACUCCCCGUCGGACUUACGGUCCUCUUUGUGCCAUCGCAACGACUUGGCAUGCUUUUUGUUCCUGAACAGACGUUUCAACCGUGGUAUUAUAGGAGCAUACCACAUCACCUUGGCGGGAACCCUCUUCCUGGGUUUCUCGCCCUCAACAUCGUCACCAGGGUCAUCGCCUCUGAUCUUAUAACGCAAUGCAGUGCAUACAGGGCAUUCAUUCAAAUUCUCGUAUUCACCGCGGUAGAGGAUGCAGUCGUUAAUGCAUGCAUGUAUCUUCAGAACCUCUAAACCUAGAGGGCAGACAACCUUCUUUGCUUCGUACGUACUGGCGGGCAACUCGUUAUUCUUCGGAAACAUAUUCUUCAACAUUUUCAGCAAAUUUUCAAAUGAUGAGUCACCUACACCUUCCUGUGCCUUCCAUUUUAGCAAAUCCAGUGUGCAGCCCAGCUUUUUCAGACUAUUAUCGCAUCCUAGAUACAACGACUUUUUGUGAUCUUCUAACAUGCGAUCCAAAUUCUCCCUAUCCUUGUCAGUUUCGCAGCGUCUCCGUGCAUCAGCAAUGGUCCGACCAAGAUCAUCAGCGGGCUCAUCAUGUGCCUCUUCUUCACCUUCACCUAACCCUUCCCCACCUUCAGCAUCAUCCUCCAUGAAAGUAUCACCGAAAUGAUCAUGAUAGUUGUCAUCGAUAUCAUCCCCUUCUUCAUCUUCUUCCAUUCUAACCCCUCUUUCUCCAUGCUUGGUCCAACAAUUAUAGCUUCGCAUGAAACCGUGCCGAAGCAGGUGCAUGUGAACGUCUCUUGAGGAGGAGUAACCCUUCUGAUUCUUACAGACAGCACAUGGACAGAUAAUAAAACCUUGCUGCUUGUUCGCAUUUGCCACUACGAGGAAAUCUUUCAAACCCGUAGUGAACUCGCCGAAGAGUCGGGGACCGUAAAUCCAUUGCCGAUUCAUCUGCAUUAUUAUUAUAUAAAGUAUAUAAUUAACCAUCAUGCAUUUGUUAAACUAACUAGCUAGAAAUAAUACAAAUUAAACAAUGAACUACACACAUGCAUAUUUUAUCAAUGACACAUGAAAGGUUCAAGUUGCUAACCGCGAUCGCGGAGGAAAAAUAAAUGAGAAAGCUCAAGUGUGGCUCGGACACUUCAUAUCAUGUUUGUUUCAGGCUCUCGGGCAUUUCAUCGAACACCUUGUGUGCAUAGGAGGAACCAAAAGCAAACCCACCACCCCCUUCUGAAUAUUGUGAAGUGAGAUGAGUGAAGUGAAGUGAGCUGAGUCCUAUAUAUAGGGAUGGGCCUUUAGUCCCGGUUGGCCUGGCCAACCGCGACUAAAGGCCUUCCGGGACCUUUAGUCCCGGUUGGCCAGGCCAACCGGGACUAAAGCCCCUCCCGUCCGCCAGCUGGAUGGCCCUUUAGUCCCGGUUGGCCUGGCCAACCGCGACUAAAGGCCUUCGGGGACCUUNNNNNNNNNNAAUUAUAGCUUCGCAUGAAACCGUGCCGAAGCAGGUGCAUGUGAACGUCUCUUGAGGAGGAGUAACCCUUCUGAUUCUUACAGACAGCACAUGGACAGAUAAUAAAACCUUGCUGCUUGUUCGCAUUUGCCACUACGAGGAAGUCUUUCAAACCCGUAGUGAACUCGCCGGAGAGUCGGGGACCGUACAUCCAUUGCCGAUUCAUCUGCAUUAUUAUGAUAUAAAGUAUAUAAUUAACUAUCAUGCAUUUGUUAAACUAACUAGCUAGAAAUAAUACAAAUUAAACAAUGAACUACACACAUGCAUAUUUUAUCAAUGACACAUGAAAGGUUCAAGUUGCUAACCGCGAUCGCGGAGGAAAAAUAAAUGAGAAAGCUCAAGUGUGGCUCGGACACUUCAUAUCAUGUUUGUUUCAGGCUCUCGGGCAUUUCAUCGAACACCUUGUGUGCAUAGGAGGAACCAAAAGCAAACCCACCACCCCCUUCUGAAAAUUGUGAAGUGAGCUGAGUGAAGUGAAGUGAGCUGAGUCCUAUAUAUAGGGAUGGGCCUUUAGUCCCGGUUGGCCAGGCUAACCGGGACUAAAGCCCCUCCCGUCCGCCAGCUGGAUGGCCCUUUAGUCCCGGUUGGCCUGGCCAACCGCGACUAAAGGCCUUCGGGGACCUUUAGUCCCGGUUGGCCAGGCCAACCGGGACUAAAGCCCCUCCCGUCCGCCAGCUGUCGACCGAGCGCGCUGGGCCCAGAUAGUUGGUCGCGGGUCUCCUCCCGAACCGCGACUAAAGACCCCUUUGGUCGCGGUUCGAUUGUUUUGGGGACUAAUGGGGGCGUAUGGAAGCCUCUUUUUCUACCAGUGNNNNNNNNNNGUGAAGUGAGCUGAGUCCUAUAUAUAGGGAUGGGCCUUUAGUCCCGGUUGGCCUGGCCAACCGCGACUAAAGGCCUUCGGGGACCUUUAGUCCCGGUUGGCCAGGCCAACCGGGACUAAAGCCCCUCCCGUCCGCCAGCUGUCGACCGAGCGCACUGGGCCCAGAUAGUUGGUCGCGGGUCUCCUCCCGAACCGCGACUAAAGACCCCUUUUGUCGCGGUUCGAUUAUUUUGGGGACUAAUGGGGGCGUAUGGAAGCCUCUUUUUCUACUAGUGUAUGAAUUUGUACUAAAAAAGUAGCGUGGAUACAGUGAAAUGCGAAAUCCACGUUAGAAUUGGAGAUCGCUAUGUGACACACACUCUAAUUCAACUAACUAUGUGACACACACUCUAAUCCACGUUAGCGUGGAUACCGUUUCAAUUUUUUUCAAAUAACUCCUCAUUAAUUAAUUUAUAGUAUCUCGUUUCGAAUGACUAAUUAUUGCAAGGAAAACACGGGCAUGGUAAUACAUAAAGUUUUGUUUGCAAAUGAAAGAAGAUUCAUUUGCAUUCUCAAAUAUAGGCGCACCAGGCAGACUAGGGUCGUGUCGUGGUGGUCGCGCGUGUUGGACGGACGCGUAGCACCCAGCCACCCACCCCCUCCCCCCCAAAAAAGGACGACGACAAAAUAAGUUCGCGCUUCCACGUUUUGAAUUGAAAUAUCUGGCGGCCCCAAUUCCAGCCCUGCAAAAUUUCCCUUCUCCACCGUCCCCUUCCGCGCCCAGAUUGCUCAAAUCCCUAAUUCGCCGCCAACCCAAGCAAAGUUCGAAUGACCCCUCGUCUCGUCUCUUUCCCCACCUCUGUGCCGGACGACGACGACGAAGACGACAGUCGCGCUUCACCACCGCACCUGAGCUACCUCUUCUACGCCCUCGUCCACCGCACCGGGUUGUCCACCGACAAUGUUGGCCGCCGCAACCGACGUGCCUCACAGACACGGACUUCCACCGCAUCAGGUGCGCUUCACCGACGCCGUCUCCCAGCUCACCGGGGCUACUUCACCGAGCACAUCGUCGCGCCUCCGCCCCCCGAGGCCGUUGGGGCUUCACCAACGGUCUCGUCCACCGCAUCGUAGCGCUCCGCUGCCACUCAAGAUCUGCAUCCGUGCGCGGCCAGCCAACGCCAGCGCAUCACCCUCAACGGCUCUGAAGUGACCCGCACUCUAGCUAGGCGAGCAUGCCCAAACGCCGGCCCGAACUAGGUAUCCACACAUCACUCCCUUGUGCGCUAUUCCGACGAUGUUUGGAUAUCCUUUCACUGCUCUCUUAGCUUAGACGCCUAUCCAACUCUGACUUUAACUCUUAUUUCUUCUGGAGAUAUCAUCUGAAACAAGCAAAUCCAUUUUUUAGCGAAGCAUGACGGCGUUACGGGAUCUGGUACACAUCCUGCACACCCGUAUAACCUUGUAAGUAUCUGUCCUCCGGUACAACAGCAAGGUUGAUUCCUCUUAUUUGAUCAGCCAUUCGCCGUGUCAAAAAUGCAGAGGGGGAUGCAAGGAGCACAAGGCCUGCACAUGAGCACAUCCAAGCAAGUGGUAACAUGGACUUGUACAUGGAACAUCCCAAGCGCAAGCAGAGCUGCAGUGAGCCUGUACAAUGAGCUAGCGUAAGUCCCUGCAUUUCAUUUAAUGUUUCGCCUCCCAACCUUUUACCUCAAGGGUAAUGUCAACAGUAAUAAUUCAUGCUCAAAUAUAUUUGAAUGACCAUAUAUGCUUAGAUCUUUCCAUCACAUGAUGCUUGCCAACUAAAGAGUAGGUUGGAAUGAGAAGGAAUACUAUUGACUCUUGCAUAAAAGUAAAAGAUAGGCCCUUCGCAGAGGGAAGCAGGGAUUUGCAGAGGUGCCAGAGCUCGAAGCAAAAACAGGGAUGAAAAUAAUUUUGAGAGGUAUGCUUUCAUUGUCAACAUAACGACCAAGAGUCCCCAAUAUCUUCCAUACUAGAUACAUUAUAGGCGGUUCCCACGCAGAAAGGUAAAGUUUUUACUCCCCCUCCACCAACAUUCACACUCCACGGCUUGUCCGAAACAAUGGGUGCCGUCCAACUAUCAACAUUCCCGGGGGAGUUUUGUUUAAAUUAUUUGCGAUCUUGUUUUUGAUCCUUUGAUCAUAGGACUAGGCAUCCCAGUUACAAGCCAUUUUCUCAUGAAUGAUGAGAAUAACCCACCUAGCAUGGAAGAUACUGACAACCCCUAGUCGUUACAUGAGCGAUUUGGGCAUACAAAACAGAUUAUUAUUUGAAGGUUUAGAGUUUGGCACAUGCAAAUUUACUUGGAACGGUAGGUAAAUACCGCAUAUAGGUAGAUAUGGUGGACACUCAUGGAAGAAACUUGGUUCAAGGAAUUUGGAUGCACAAGCAGUAUUUCCGCUUAGUACAGAUACUUUGGCUAGCAAAGGAUUCUAAAUAGCAAGCACCACAUGUUAGAGGAUCCAUAACAAUAUAACUUCUAUACAAAUAUACCCAAGCAUAACUCAUUAUGUUUUCUUCCUUGUCCAACUUCAACUAAUUUGCUCAGGUGUGAAAAUAAUUAAUGGGGCUCACAAUCAUAGAAGACGUCCAAGAUAGUAUAUUUAUAUGUGAAAUCUCUCUUCCUUCAAUAUUCUUUCAUGAAUUGUUCAAGUGACCAAUACAAUGUUUGCUAACCUUCAAAAAAUUUACCACCUCUACUUCUUAUAUGUGAAGGCAUUACUCCCCAUGGGAAAGGCAUAUUAAACAUAUAUAAUUUCAGAUUUAUGACAUUCAAAUCAUUCAACCAUUUACCCAUAGGAUAUAAGUGAAGCACACGAGUAAAUGACAAACUACUCCAAAAAGAUAUAAGUGAAGAUCAAUGAGUAGUUAAAUAAUUAUGUAGCUAUGUGAAGACUCUCUCCCAUUUAAGAAUUUCAGAUCUUGGGAAAUUAUUCAAACAGCAAGCAAAACAAAAUAAAACGACAUUUCAAGGAUAGCACUCAUCAUGUGAAGAAGCAAAAACUUAGGCUCAACCGAUACUAACCGAUAAUUGUUGAAGAAGAAAGGUGGGAUGCCAACCGGGGCAUCCCCAAGCUUAGACGCUUGAGACUUCUUGAAAUAUUAUCUUGGGAUGCCUUGGGCAUCCCCAUGCUUGAGCUUUUGUGUCUCCUUAAUUCGUCUCAUAUCACAGUCUCCCUAAAUCUCAAGAGCUUCAUCCACACAAAACUCAACAAGGACUCGUGAGAUAAGUUAGUAUAAACCAAUGCAAAAACCUUAUCAUACUCUACUGUAGCAAAUCACUAAAAUUAUUAUUCAACAUUUCAUACUAAAUGCCUCUGUAUAUUUAAUACUCCUAUCAUCAAAUAUAAUCAUUAAACAAGCAAACAUAUGCAAAUAAUGCAAACAUAACAGCAAUCUGCCUAAACAGGACAAUCUGUAAAGAAUGCAAGAUACAUCAUACUUCCCUAACUCCAAAAAUUAUGAAAGAAAAUUCCCACUGUAGUGAAUUUAUCAGAGCUUAAUAUGCAAAAGGUUUCAACAUUUUAUCACAUUCUGAAUUUUCAAGGGAAUUUUUGCAACAGCGGUAAACUUUCUGUUUUGAAACAGCAACAUGUAUACUUUCAAAAUAAGCAUGGUAAAGGCUAUCCUUGACAUUUUUAUUGAAAAUAGAAAUGCAAAACAUUAUUCUAAAUAACAGCACGCAAAUACUAACAAAAUAAAAUGAUGCUCCAAGCAAAACACAUAUCAUGUGGUGAAUAAAAAUAUAGCUCCAAGUAAAGUUACCGAUGAACGAAGACGAAAGAGGGGAUGCCAUCCGGGGCAUCCCCAAGCUUAGGCUCUUGGUCAUCCUUGAAUAUUACCUUGGGGUACCUUGGGCAUCCCCAAGCUUAGGCUCUUGCCACUCCUUAUUCCAUAGUCCAUCGAAUCUUUACCCAAAACUUGAAAACUUCACAACACAAAACUUGACAGAAAACUCGUAAGCUCCGUUAGUAUAAGAAAAUAAAUCACGACUUAAGGUACUGUAAUGAACUCAUUCUUAAUUCAUAUUGGUGUAAUAUCUACUAUAUUCUAACUUCUCUAUGGUUCCUACCCUCCGAUACUACUCAUAGAUUCAUCAAUAUAAGCAAGCAACACACGAAAAACAGAAUCUGUCAAAAACAGAACAGUCUGUACUAAUCUGUAACUAACGCAAACUUCUGGAACUGCAAAAAUUAUACAAAAAUAGGAAGGCCUAGAUAAUUCGUUUAUUGAUCUUCUGCAAUUGGAAUCAAUAUUUUAUCACGUUCUGGUGAUUUUUUAACAAUUGUUUUCGUGAACAGAAAGUUUCUGGAAUUUUCAGCAAGAUCAAAUAACUAUCAUCCAAGAAGAUCCUAUAGGUUCAACUUGGCACGAACACUAAUUAAAACAUAAAAACACAUCUAACCAGAGGCUAGAUCAAAUAUUUAUUCCUAAACAGAACCAAAAAGCAAAAAACUAAAAUAAAAUUGGGUUGCCUCCCAACAAGCAACUAGCAUAUUUAAGUCUAACCCACUUCCUAUGCAUAGGGAUUUUGUGAGCAAACAAAUCAUGGGAACAAUAAUCAACUAGCAUAGGAAGGCAAAACAAGCAUAACUUCAAAACUUUAAGCACAUAGAGAGGAAAAUCGAUAUUAUUGCAAUUCCUACAAGCAUAUAUUCCUCCCUCACAAUAAUUUUCAGUAGCAUCAUGAAUGAAUUCAACAGUAUAACCAUCACCUAAAGCAUUCUUUUCAUGAUCUACUUGUGUAGAAAUUUUAUUACUUUCCACAUAAGCAAAAUUCUUCUCAUUCGGAAUAGUGGGAGCAAAUUCAAGAAAAUAACUAUCAUGGGAUUGAAAAUUGAAAUCAAGAUGACUAGUUUCAUGGUUAUCAUUAUUCUUUAUAGAAUACGUGUCAUCACAAUAAUCAACAUAGAUAGGAGGCAUGCUUUCAUCAUAAUGAAUUUGCACAUCAAAACUUGGGGGAUUAAAAAUAUCAUCUUCAUCAGACAUAGCAUCCCCAAGCUUGCGGCCUUGCAUAUCAUUAGCAUCAUGCAUAUUCAAAGAAUUCAUACUAAAAACAUUGCAAUCAUGCUCAUCAUUCACAUAUUUUAUGCCAAGCAUUCUAUGUAAUUCUUCUUCUAGCACUUGGGCACAAUUUUCCUUUCCAUCAUUUUCACGAAAGAUAUUAAAAAGAUGAAGCAUAUGAGGCAAACUCAAUUCCAUUUUUUUGUAGUUUUAUUUUAUAAACUAAAGUAGUGAUAAAACAAGAAACAAAAAGAUUCGAUUGCAAGAUCUAAAGAUAUACCAUCAAGCACUCACCUCCCCGGCAACGGCGCCAGAAAAGAGCUUGAUUGACGGGGUGUGAGUGCCGCUUACCUAGCCUCCCCGGCAACGGCGUCAGAAAAGAGCUUGAUGUCUACUACACAACCUUCUUCUUGUAGACGUUGUUGGGCCUCCUAGUGCAGAGGUUUGUAGGAUAGUAGCAAAUUUCCCUCAAGUGGAUGACCUAAUGUUUAUCAAUCCGUGGGAGGCGUAGGAUGAAGAUGGUCUCUCUCAAGCAACCCUGCAACCAAAUAACAAAGAGUCUCUUGUGUCCCCAACACACCCAAUACAAUGGUAAAUUGUAUAGGUGCACUAGGUCGGCGAAGAGAUGGUGAUACAAGUGCAAUAUGGAUGGUAGAUAUAGGUUUAUGUAAUCUGAAAAUAUAAAAACAGCAAGGUAACUAAUGAUAAAAGUGAGUGUAAACGGUAUUGCAAUGCUAGGAAACAAGGCCUAGGGUUCAUACUUUCACUAGUGCAAGUUCUCUCAACAAUAAUAACAUAAUUGGAUCAUAUAAAUAUCCCUCAACAUGCAACAAAGAGUCACUCCAAAGUCACUAAUAGCGGAGAACAAACGAAGAGAUUAUUGUAGGGUACGAAACCACCUCAAAGUUAUUCUUUCGGAUCGAUCUAUUCAAGAGUUCGUACUAGAAUAACACCUUAAGACACAAAUCAACCAAAACCAUAAUGUCACCUAGAUACUCCAAUGUCACCUCAAGUAUCCGUGGGUAUGAUUAUACGAUAUGCAUCACACAAUCUCAGAUUCAUCUAUUCAAUCCAACACUUCAAAGGGUGCCCCAAAGUUUCUACCAGAGAGUCAAGACGAAAACGUGUGCCAACCCCUAUGCAUAGGUUCAUGGGCGGAACCCGCAAGUUGAUCACCAAAACAUACAUCAAGUGAAUUAAUAGAAUACCCCAUUGUCACCACGGGUAUCCCACGCAAGACAUACAUCAAGUGUUCUCAAAUCCUUAAAGACUUAAAUCGAUAAGAUAUCAAAGGGAAAACUCAAUCCAUUACAAGAGAGUAGAGGGGGAGAAACAUCAUAAGAUCCAACUAUAAUAGCAAAGCUUGUGAUACAUCAAGAUCGUAUCACCUCAAGAACACAAGAGAGAGAGAGAGAUCAAACACAUAGCUACUGGUACAUACCCUCAGCCCCGAGGGUGAACUACUCCCUCCUCGUCAUGGAGAGCGUCGGGAUUAUGAAGAUGGCCACCGGUGAGGGAUCCCCCCUCCGGCAGGGUGCCGGAACAGGGUCCCGAUUGGUUUUUGGUGGCUACAGAGGCUUGCGGCGGCGGAACUCCCGAUCUGUUCUGUUCCUCGAAGUUUUUAGGGUAUAUGGAUAUUUAUAGGCGAAAGAAGUCGGUCAGGGGAGCCACGAGGGGCCCACGAGGGUGGAGGGCGUGCCCAGGGGGUGGGCGCGCCCCCCUGCCUCGUGCCUUCCUUGUUGAUCUGCUGACGUGCACUCCAAGUCUCCCGGAUUGCUUUCUUUCCAAAAAUAACUCUCCUGAAGGUUUCAUUCCGUUUGGACUCCGUUUGAUAUUCCUUUUCUUCGAAACACUGAAACAAGGGAAAAACAGGAACUGGCACUGGGCUCUGGGUUAAUAGGUUAGUCCCAAAAAUCAUAUAAAAGUGCAUAGUAAAGCCCAUUAAACACCCAAGAUGGAUAAUAUAAUAGCAUGGAUACUUCAUAAAUUAUAGAAAUGUUGGAGACGUAUCAGGCAUUCAUUACCCAAUAUGGGCCUUUCUGCUUUAACACUAUGCCUUUCGGGCUCAAAAACGUUGGCGCCACUUACCAACACAUGAUUCAAACAUGCUUGGAGAAACAGAUCGGCAAGACAGUUGAAGCAUAUGUGGAUGACGUCGUCAUCAAAACCAGGCACAUCGAGUCAUUGAUAGCCGAUCUACGUCUUACAUUCGACAACCUCCGUACAUAUGACAUCAAGCUCAACCCGGAAAAGUGUGUUUUUGGCGUCCCCGCCAGAAAACUGCUGGGCUUCAUCGUUUCCAAUAGAGGAAUUGAGGCAAAUCCAGCCAAAAUAGAGGCUUUAUCACAAUUGGCUACGCCAACAGACCUUAAACAGGUCCAAAAACAUGCGGGAUGCGUGGCAGCUUUAAGCCGCUUUAUCUCCAGAUUGGGAGAAAAAGCAUUGCCACUCUACCGCCUUCUCCGACGCACCGACCACUUCGAGUGGACGGAUGCGGCAACGGCCGGACUGGAGGAAAUAAAGGCCCUUUUAGCGAGCAACCCAAUCCUGGCCGCGCUGAACAUCGACGAACCCAUGUUAUUAUACAUAUCGGCAACACACCAGGUGGUGAGUGCCGGCUCGUUGUCGAGCGAGAGUAGGACGGACACAAAAUCCCACUCCAGAAACCGGUGUACUAUGUAUCCACUAUCCUCGCACCAUGCAAAUCCCGGUACCCUCAUUACCAAAAAACAGCAUACACGGUCUUCAUGGCAUCCCGGAAGCUACGACACUACUUUCAAGAGUGCUCGAUCACGGUGGCCUCCGAAGUACCACUCAAUGACAUAAUAAACAACCGCAAUGCGACAGGCCGGAUUGCUUAGUGGGCCAUUGAGCUCCUUCCAUUCGACAUAAGUGAAAGUGCUAGUUAUCGACUAGAGGGGGGGUGAAUAGGCGAUUUUUACGAAAGUCUUCAAAACACGGGGGCUUUGAAGACAAACGAUAGAAAUGAGCCUAUUGAUAUGUAGCGGAAGGUAGACUACACUAGACAAGCCAUAGUCAAGUAAGUACUGAAGUGAAAGCACGAAGACUAUUAGCAGCUAGGUAGUAUAGAUCAGGAUGGAAGAUAGUAUGAAGAUAAACAACAAUAGUUGUCACACAGUGAAGUCAAACAGAUAAGGCAAGCAUGCAAAUGACUUCACGAAGACAAACUUUAAAUAAGUGAGGGAGAAGAUAGAACCAGUAGUUUGCAGAGGACAGGGAUUUGUUGGACCAGUUCCAGUUGUUGUGACAACUGUACGUCUGGUUAGGGAGGCUGAGAUUCAACUCAGAAGACCGCAUCUUCACCUUAUUCCCCUUGAGCUAAGGACACUUAGUCCUCGCCCAAUCACUCUGGUAAGUCUUCAAGGUAGACUUCCAAACCUUCACAGACUUCGUUCACCGGCAAUCCACAAUGACUCUUGGAUGCUCAGAAUGCGAUGCCUAACCGGCUGGAGGAUUCACAGUCCUCAAGUGUAACAAGUCUUCAGGUCACGCGGACAGAAGGACUUCAGUGAUGCCUAACACUCUUUGGCUCUGGGUGUUUUGGUCUUUGUCCUCGCAAGGAUCUUUCUCUCAAAGGCUUCGAGGUGGGUUGCUCUCAAACGACAAAAGCCGUGCACUAACUCUGAGCAGCCACCAAUUUAUGGUGUAGGGGGUGGGCUAUUUAUAGCCACUAGGCAACCCGACCUGAUUUGUCCGAAAUGACCCUGGGUCACUAAGGAACUGACACGUGUCCAAUGGUCAGAUUUCAAACUCACGCGGCAACUUGACUUGGGCUACAAGUAAAGCUGACUCAUCCAGCUCUGGAUAAGAUUUGCUCUCAUUGUCUUCGCUCGAAGACAUAGGAUUUGGUUGAGCAUCACUUCAGUAACUCUGACUUUGUUCACUUGGACCCCACUUAACAGUACGGUGGUUCCUAUGACUCAACAGAGAAGAAAAGGAAACUACGAAACAACUAUGUCUUCGCACUCCAUAGUCUUCACGUGAAUGUCUUCUCGAGUCAUAAUCUUCGUUGUGAAUAUCUUCACAUACCACCAUUGUCUUCAAUGUCUUCACACAUUUUUAGGGGUCAUCUCCGGUAGGGAAACCGAAUCAAUGAGGGACCACUACCUAUGUUAUCCUGCAAUUCUCACAAACACAUUAGUCCCUCAACCAGGUUUGUCGUCAAUACUCCAAAACCAACUAGGGGUGGCACUAGAUGCACUUACAAUCUCCCCCUUUUUGGUGAUUGAUGACAAACUGGUUGAAGUUUUCAACGGGGAUAGAAGUAUGUGAAAUUGUAGGGGUUACGGUAUUGUCUUCAAAAGUAGCAAAAGGCUCCCCCUGAAGAUGUGCAUCUAAAUAGUUUGCGUUUGAAUGCAAAUGCACAUGGCAGGUUUUACUUGUGGAGAUCCUCUUCAACUAAUGAAGACAAUUCAUCAUGCAUGAAAGGAUAUAAUGAAGGUAAGGACAUGCAUAAUGAAAAAUGGACGUCUGCGGAAUGACUUCGUGCGAAAUUUAUCAUUGCAUAUGCGGAAUUUAUCGUCGCGUCACAUAGUUGACAGAAAGGUAGCAGACGACCAUCAAGUUUAAGUGUUACAACUCAAAGAACCAAAAGUAUCAAAAGCGAUAGUUGUAAACACUUAGCAAAAAGUAUAGCAACCACCCAUAAGGACCCGCUUGAAGACUAUCAACUCAUAUGCUUCUCCCCCUUUUGUCAGUAAGGACCAAAAAGGUUUGAAGACAUAGAGCUUCUACUCGUUCCUAUGAGGAGAAGGAGAAGGUGCAGGGUCGACGUUGUAGUCCGGUGGUGCAGAAGAACUUGGUGCAGUGUCGAUACGAGGCGAAGUUGUAGUUGGCGAAGUAGCAUCAUCUUCGCCAUCGAUGACUCUGGCAUUGACAGUUGCAGCUAAGCAGGAGUACUCAGAGAUCAGAGCCAGAUGCAGCAAGUUGCCUAAUGAAGAAAUCCUGAGCAUUGAAGCUGAUGCCAUUGAGGAUAUAGAAAACCAAUGUCUUCAUUGCUCCUUCAAGCUUCACUGUAGCAGAAUGUCCUUUGACAGGCCAUAGAGUUCGCCGUAUGAUAUGAUAAAUGGUGCGGGGCAGAUACUCCAGGUCUUCAACAAAGAAUUCCUUUGGAUAGUCAGCAUCUUGUGGCAGUGGCUUCAUCAUGCUCAACAUUUGGCUCAUAUUCAGCUCAGGCUUCUGGAAUAUGCUCUCCAGUGCAUUGCGGUGAAGCUGACAACCAGGUUCGUAGAGUUCACCUGGUGUGGGCAGGGCAGUAAGCUCAAUAAUAUCUUGGGCUUUGGCUUCAUGGCGUACAUUGCCUGUCAUCCACUCAAGGACCCAAGUCUUCGGAUCCCUGUUGUAGCCGCGAUUAUGAAGAGUGGCAAAGAAUUGUAGCAGAAGCUCCUCAUUCCAAUUUUCUUUGUCGGUCACAAACUGCAGAAGGCCAGCAUCUCUGAAGCAGUCUAGGGCUUCUUCCAAGCAGGGCAGACCAGCAAUGGCUUCGCAGUCUAGACGCAUAUGGGGAAAAAUGCGCCCUUGAUUGUAUAAGACACAAGAAUAAUAACUGCGCUGCUGAUAGCUCCAGAACCGAUCAGAUGAAAUUCUUGGCUUCGAAUAAGGGUUCUUGGCACUAUCAAAGAACGUGUUGUGUGCUUUGAAGCCAUUCACAUUGAACGAUCCUGGCGAAGACGCAGUACCAGGAAACCUUGGCAUCUGGGCUUUGGCUUCUGGACUUGAGGCCUGUGCUCCACAUGAUAGUCAAACUGCGGUCCGGGAGCAGCCGGAGGAACCAGAAUAGGCCAGCGGACGGUGACACGUUGACCAUGGUCAAAUGCUUGCUCAAUGGUGUGAGGCCUUGGAGGCGGUCCAGGAGCAGUGGCAUUGACCUGGGCUUCAAGCUGCACAAUGGCUUCAGGUGCAACAUGAGCUUCAGGCACCAUAUUCACUUCAGGUGCCACAUUAGCUUCAGCCAUGACCACGUCAUUGGCUUCAGUAGUGUUGUUGGUAGCCGCCUCAGUGUUUUCAACCUCCACUUGAGUAGCUGGAGGGUCGGGCACUGACUCGUUCUCCUCGAGAACAACUUCUUGGUUGGUAGGGGGUCUGGCAGCUCGCUCUUCUUCUUGACGGGGUUCUUGUUGGUCAUCGGCUGAUGCAGCCAGAAUGUCUUCAGCAGCUUUUGCUUCAGACUCAGAGACGUUCAUAGUUGGAGUGGUGUCAGGAAACACUUGUCAUGCUACUGAGUUGUUUUGCACUUCUCCUUCUGGAACGCUCGGCAGAGCAACUUGUGGCCUUGGUCCUUUGUGAAGCCUGCGGAAUGCGGGCGACGCUUUUGGAGAGGGAGUUGGCUGGACCACAUAGUCGUCAUCGUCAAGCACUGGAGUGGUGACUUGAGGUGGGGGAGUACUGGGUGAUUCUUGACUUGGUUUAUCUUGUUGGGGGUGAUCAGCCCACGAUGCAUCCUGAGCGAUUGGCGUCAAGGGACGACCAAUGCUGAUGAGUUCGCUGUUCGUGAGAACAGGCGAUGAUACCGGUUGGUGCUCGAUCUAAGGAAGGACUUCAUCAUCAUCUACAUUGUCGUGAUGACCAAUGUCUUCAGCUGUGAUGGGGUCAACAGCUGAAAUGUCUUCAGCUUCAGGAGCCUCUGUGAAAGCAGGCUCAUGAAGUACUAGCUGACGCUCUCGGUUGGUGGAUGCAGGACGAGCAACUGAGAUGGGCUCAACAACAAGGGGCUCUGAGGGAGAAGCCCGAUCUUUCUUCGAAGACUUUGUCUUCCGCUUCUUGGUUUGUGGUGCAUCCUCAGUGGGAUUCAUGUUCUUGCGCUUUCUGGCUUCGGCCUCAGCUGCCCUGGUCUUUUUCAGUUCUGAAGCAGGUGUGGGGACCUUAGGCUUCGAGCCUGUCACUACAAAAAAAAGACACAUCCGUGACAUUUUGGGCCGAACGAAUUUUUUUUCUGUCAUACUUAUGACACUUCUAUGACGAUAAUUCUGACAAAACCCGGUAUCAUCAUAGAUGUGGUGGGGUCCUACUUCUAUGAUAAAAAAUCAUGACAGAAAAUGGGCUUUUCGUCCUGGGUGGGCUGGAGAUGCAGCUGCAUGACAUUCUUUGGGCCGUCCAUGACGGAAAAAACCAUGGUAGAAGCGAGGGCAAGGAAAAUAUCAGGGUGUUCCCGAUUACGGUGGGUGGUCGGGGCCGAGCGAUGCGCGUUUCUCUCGUACACGCACGCGCGUGGGUGCGAGGCGUUGGGCUCUAACUGAACCCGAGCGAUUGCACUAUAGGCUACGCGUUUCUAAACCCAAGCGAUCGAUCGAUGGCUGUUAACUAAACCUGAUCGAGUGAUUCCUUCGCUACUGCUGCUAACUGAAGCUGAUCGAUGCUGCCUCUGGAUGAACAGUGAGUGUUGCUGGGGGGGUUUGGAUGAACAGUUCCUGGUGGGGGUGGAUGAACAUGACCACGUGGUGUUGCCUCUGGAUGAACAGGACCCCGAUAGAUCGAGCCGGUUGGGGCUGGAUGAAUAGGACCCCGUGGAGGGCAGGAUGAACAGGACCACCCCGUGCAGGGCUGGAUGAACAGUAGAUGGUGGAGGGCUGGAUGAACAGUAGCCCGUGGAGGGGUGGUUGACCAAGAGCCCGUGGAGAGGGCUGGUUGAACAGUAGCCGGUGGAGUAGCGCGCGGUGGAGGCUGGAUGAACAGGAGCCUGUGGAUGAAUAGUCGCAGGUGGAGGCUGGAGGAGGUCGACGGUGGAUGAACAGUAGCCCAUGGAGGCUGGAGGGGGUCGACGGUGGAGAUGAACUGUAUCCCGCGGAGUCCCGUUUUGCGGUACGCCACACCCCUCCCGAUGAACAGGACCCCCGUUUCGACCGUAGCGCUCCAACACAAGUCCGUUUCCCCCGUUUUGCGGUACGCCACACCCCUCCCGAUCAAUAGGACCCCCGUUUCGACCAUACACUACAAGAAAUAUGUCAACUUGUGACCUUCUCUUAGUGACCCCAGCUGAAAUGGUCGUAAAUCCAUGGCUAUUUCGCUUGGAGGGCUCAAACCCUGAAAUUGCCUUACACCAAAUGGUCAUAAAGCUGACAAGAGUUUUCCAUGACCUUAUUUCUACCUGAUUACGACCAAUAUAAAUGAUCAUGAGGUUGUGAACGUGGAUGCAUUGGUACUUAUUGCUAUGACUAGGUGCCACCUCUUCAGUUUUGCCUAUGUGUCAUGUCCAUGUGUCAAUUUUUGCCCUAGGUUGUGAAGCAACCUAUAUUUCUGUCAUUCCCAAAAUUCCAAAAAAAUCUCAUAAAUUCUUUGGGUCAUAUGUUUGUCAAAUAUGUAAAAAUCCUUCCUUGCCUAGUUCAAAACUAAUUCAACAAUAUUCAUUUUCCUAUUCUGUUCAUAAUAUCACUUUGUGAAGGAAGUGCUAUUUAUAUAUUCUUGAUUGCCCUCAAAAUUGUUGGGCACUCUUUCCUAUCCAAAUCAUUGUCUCAUGACAAAAUUCAACUCCAUUUGCCUAGCAAAUCUUUCUGGGCAAAUUUCCAAAGUUUUUGUCCACCUAGAAGCAUUGUGAAGGAAGUGCCUUUUUUAUAUAUCCAAAUGACAUGAAAUUUAUACAGUUCCUUCAUACGCCAAAAUUAUCACCCUCCUCCAAAUUGCAGCUCAGUCAAAUCAUCUAUGUGAGCCCAGGUUCAAUUUAUAUUUUAUGGCCAGAUUGGCACGUUCAAAGCAAGUGUUUUCUAGACCCCUCCUAUUACCCUCAAACUUUUUGGGCACUCUUCCAUACCCAAAUCAUUACCACAUGAUAAUAUUCAGCUCCAUUUUCCUGGUAAAUAUUUCUCAGGAAAUUUCGAAAGUUUGUACCUCGAGAGAAGCUUUGUGAAGUAAGUACUAGCUAGGCUUACCCAAAUGAUCUAAAAACUUACCAGCGCAUGACCAUACAUAUGUAACUUACCUACACCAAAUUUGAGCUCAUUUCAUUCAUCCAAUUUCUCUAGCUAAUUUUCCCAAGUUUUUGUCCAAAGAAGAGCAUUGUGAAGGAAGUACCACUUUGGCAUGUCCAAAUGGUAUCAAUUUUCUACAGUGCUUCCGUAUGCCCAAAUAACCAUCCUCCACCAAAUUUCUACUCAAUCCAUUCAUUAUUUUGAGCCCAGCUUCAACAUUCAUAUUUUUGUCCAGUGUGGUACUUUGCAAAGCAAGUACCACCUAGUAUCCUCCUUUUGAGCUGAAAAUUUGUGAAGACAUUCUUCUUAGUAGAUGAUCAUCCUCAGCCAAAACUCACGCCCAUUGCCCAUGUGCAUUAUCCGUAGUGCUAAUCAAACACUUGGCUGCUAAUUCAUCUUUGAGCAUAGGUCGGUCUCCUCGUGAGAUUCUUCUAUUGUAAUUUUCUUCCUAGCACCUACCUGGGCAGUGCCCAACCUACUAGACAUGCCUAGGCCUCCCAGAACGCAUGUCAACGCCAAGGUCACACGGUGACCACGCGGCGGGCAUGCGAGUUUACGCGCUUCGGAGUUGGGGCCCUGGGCCACCGUCCAAACCUCGACGUAUCGCCACCAAACCAUGUAAUUAUGCUUAAAUAGAUACUUAUGUAACUAUAAAUGAUUUUUGGAAAAAAUAAAGAGAAAACAAUAAGGUAGCUGCAGUUCAAAUUUGACCCGCUUCCUACUAAAUCGGCGGAAAUUUGUCUUUUUCACCAGAGGUGGAUCAAAACUUUUGAAACUCAACCAAUUUGUCAAUUGUGCAUUAAAUAUGGCCUAGUAUUUUAUAAAAUUGAUUAGGUCCAAUUUUGCAACAAAUAUAUGGUAGGUCCUUCAUAAAAAAAACUCAUUUCGGGCACUCGAAAAAUGGAAAAUGUAUUUUCCGUGAAAAGAAAAUGAAAACUCCCUUUGGCAACAUUGUUUGGAAUUCCAAGAUGCACCCUUGUGCAUAAUAUGAGAUCAUUUGAACAAACUAUGCCAUGAAUGUGGCCAUAAGGUUGAUCAUUUGGCUUGAAAGCCAUGAAUAUUCACACAUGAUAGCUCAUUUCUGAGAACACUUUUUAAAAUAAUUGCCGUAUUACAAGUUUAUUAUUUUUCCUGGUAACUUGGUCACAUAUAAUGACACAAUGCGAAGGUUUUCCAAUUUUUUGAUUUUUUUGAUUUUUUUAUGCCCGUUUGAAAAUGCUGUCAAAACGGCGGGAAUGACCGUUCCUAGCUAGUGGUUGAAUCUUGGAUUUUUUGGUAUUUCUGUAAUUAAAUAGAUACUUUUGUACCUAGAAAUGAUUUUUGGAAAAAAUAAAGAGCAAACUAUGAGGCAGCUUCAGUUCAAAUUUGACCUGCUUCCUUCUAAAUCGGCGGAAAUUUGUCUUUUUCACCAGAGGUGGAUCAAGGCUUUUGACACCUAACCAUUUUGGUCAAUUGUGCAUUAAAUAUGUCCUAGUAUUUUAUAAAAAUGAUUUGGUUCAAUUUUGCAACAAUUAUUUGGUAGGUCAUUCACAAAAAACCCUCAUUUUGGGCACUCGAAAAAUGGAAAAUGCUUUUUUCGUCCAAAGAAAAUGAAAACUUCCUUAGGCAACAUUGUUUGCCAUUCCAAUAUGCGCCCUUCUGCACAAUAUGAGAUCAUUUGAACAAACUAUGCCAUGAAUGUUGCCAUAGGAUUGAUCAUUUGGCUUGAAAGCCAUUGAUCUCCACACAUGAUAGCUCGUUUCUAAGAACACUUUUUUAAAACAAUUGCCGUAUUACAAGUUUAUUAUUUUUUGUAGUAACUUUGUCACAUAUAAUGACACAAUGCGAAGGUUUUCCAAUUUUUUGAAUUUUUUUGAAUUUUUCAUGCUCGUUUCAAAAUGUGGUCAAAACUGCGGGCAUGACCGUUCCUUGCUAGUGGUUGAAUCUUGAAAAACUUUUGAUGUUUCUAUGAUUAAAUAGAUACUUAUGUACCUAGAAAUGAUUUUUGGAAAAAAAUAAGGAACAAACUAUGAGACAUCUGCAGUUCAAAUUUGACCCGCUUCCAGCGGAAUCGUUGAAAAUUUGUCUUUUUCACGAGAGGUGCAUCAAAACUCUUCACACCCAAGCAUUUGGUAAAUUUUACAUUAAAUAUGACCUAAUACUUUAUAAAAAUUAUUCGGUCCAAUUUUGCAACAAAUAUAUGCUAGGUCAUUCACAAAAAUGCACAUUUUGGGCACUCAAAAAAUAAUUAAAAAUAGAUAGAAAGAUCAGAAAUGCAUACGAAUUGGUGCUCAUCCAUAAAAUGUGGUCUAACUUGACUGAAAAUUUGUGUGAUACCCUUUUGCAAAAUAGUUUUGAUAGCUACUUCACAAAAUCCCUCUAUUUUUAGUAUUUGGAAACUAUUUUAAAUCACUGAUUUUCCGAACCAAUCAAAACUCUUCCCACGGUUCGAUGACAUGGCGCCCAUCCAUCCAUCCAUCCAUCCAUAUCUCCAUCCCACAUCCAUCCAUCCAUUCAUCUACAGAAAAAAAAGAAAAAAAGUGAUACCCCCCGCAGCCCAAACCCUAGAUCAGAUCCCCCCAUCGCACCCCUCUCCCUGCUCCCAAUCUCCCCGCCGCCGCCGCCACCUCCUCCCCAUACCCGCGCCCCUCCCGAUCUCGCCGUCCUCUCCCACCCACCGCCGACCUUGCCGUCCUCCUCACCCACCGCCGACCUCGNNNNNNNNNNNNNNNNNNNNNNNNNNNNNNNNNNNNNNNNNNNNNNNNNNNNNNNNNNNNNNNNNNNNNNNNNNNNNNNNNNNNNNNNNNNNNNNNNNNNNNNNNNNNNNNNNNNNNNNNNNNNNNNNNNNNNNNNNNNNNNNNNNNNNNNNNNNNNNNNNNNNNNNNNNNNNNNNNNNNNNNNNNNNNNNNNNNNNNNNNNNNNNNNNNNNNNNNNNNNNNNNNNNNNNNNNNNNNNNNNNNNNNNNNNNNNNNNNNNNNNNNNNNNNNNNNNNNNNNNNNNNNNNNNNNNNNNNNNNNNNNNNNNNNNNNNNNNNNNNNNNNNNNNNNNNNNNNNNNNNNNNNNNNNNNNNNNNNNNNNNNNNNNNNNNNNNNNNNNNNNNNNNNNNNNNNNNNNNNNNNNNNNNNNNNNNNNNNNNNNNNNNNNNNNNNNNNNNNNNNNNNNNNNNNNNNNNNNNNNNNNNNNNNNNNNNNNNNNNNNNNNNNNNNNNNNNNNNNNNNNNNNNNNNNNNNNNNNNNNNNNNNNNNNNNNNNNNNNNNNNNNNNNGCUGCGGAACCCCUUCCUACCGAUGCACCAGCCGUGGGCGUCGCUGCUGGUGCACGGCACCAAGCGCGUGGAGGGCCGCUCCUGGCCUUCGCCGGUCACCGGCCGCCUCUGGAUCCACGCCGCCUCCAAGGUGCCCGACCCCGACACUGUCGCCGCCAUGGAGGACUUCUACCGGGAGAUCUACGCCGUCGACGGGGUCCACCACAUCGACUUCCCCCAGCACUACCCCGUCUCCUGCCUCCUCGGUCCGCAUCCAUCGUCUUCCUUGCUAGUUACCGCCGCCGCCGCUAUUCCUCUCAGCUUGCUGACGCCAUUGCCGAUUAUUGCUCAGGAUGCGUCGAGGUGGUCGGCUGCGUCAGGUCCGAGGAGCUGGUCUGCUGGGAGGAUGUGCCUCAAUCAGUAAGACAACUUCAUUCCUCUCCUGUCCAUGGCCUGGAUUUCUACAGCUUGUCAUGUCAUGCCACUCAAAACAUUGGUUAGGGCCUGUUCGGAAUAGAGCCGUGUAAAACAGAGGAAAGCAAAAUAGUAGACGAACGUGAUUAGCAGCUAGUGGCAAAACAGAGGAAUAAAAACAAUGAAAUGUUAUAUUUAGCUAAGCUUGUUAUUUUCAUACUAAAUGAAUGGUAUUUCAGUAGGAGUAAUAUUAUCUUAUUGUGGAUGACACCACCAUUCUAUCUACAACACUUGCUCUGGCAAUUAGCAGAGAAUGAAUUAAUUUGACAACUUCCAGCGGAUGUUUAUUAUACUAUUGAGUUGAAUUCAUGUACUGCUAGCUGCAAGAUGCUAUAGUCUAGAUACAUGAUGCAAAGUAUGUUGUAUUUACACACUUACAUCCAACUGCAGUAGCAGCAUGGGCGAGUUGAGGUGGGGGACAGAGAGGCUGUGUUGUGUGGGUUCUGAUCAUGGUAUAGCAGCACACUUUCCAGCGUCGAUUUAAGCAAACGAUGAUGCAAGGCUCCUCCUCCUUGUACUGCAUGUCUUCAUCGACUUGAUUCUUUGACAGGGAGAUAUUUAAAGCCUUCACUUGUUCAUUGUGUCAUCUGUUGAUUACUUUUUCUAUUAUUUUCUUGCAAAGCAUGUAAUGGUUUGGAGUAGUUGAUCAUGGCCUGAUGGAACAUUCAUGUUGUUAGCAUGUAUAUAUCUACACUAUUACAGCAGCUUGUUGAUCAAGCACUUCUUUCUAUCUAAAUGUGUGCACAGAAGUUCAGUUACCUUCUAAAACAUUAUUGGUGCACUAUAUAUAUAUACACACUAUCUAUAUAUAUAUACACUAUUAUAGCAGCUUGUUGAUCAAGCGCUUCUUUCUAUCUAUAUAUAUACACUAUCUAAAUUGUUUGCAACAACAUUAUGCACAUGAGGCAGGACUACACAAGUGAAUUGUCAUAGUAAGGUCCUUCCAUGGAUUUCAUGUGGCUCCUUGAGUUGUAAGAUGCAGCUCCAACAUUGAAUAUAUUUUGAAUGUUUCCAAAGAUACUCUCUGUUACGUUUACUUCAAUAUAUACAUGCAUGUUACUAAUAGAAGCUGGCUGCAAGAAUCCGUACACAUAUAUACUCUCUUGUACAGUACAUUGCUAGAUCACUCACUAGGCAUUAUGUAAUACUACUAGGAGAUAUGGGUGAGGGACUAAAAGGAUGAUACGCUUCCAUGAAUUUAUUUGUAAGAAGUUUUUCUUGGCUGUGUACAAAUCAGCCCAAAUGAAUUUAUGUUCUUUUUACUUCCAGAGUUAUAGUGCACUCAUACUGUCAUCACAUUGCGUGUUCUUGCUGCAUAUACCUCUCUAUUUGCUUAGGCAGACAACUACUUAUGUAAUAUGCAAACAACAGCAACAGAGUUAGUGAUGCUAAUUCUACCUCUUGUUACAGAAUCAGAAUUCCUCUUGUUGCACAGGACAACUCCGUUUCCUCUUGUUAUAGAAUCAUAAUUCCUCUGCUUCUUAUGCUACUCUGCUAGAACUCUGCUUUUCUACUUGUCAUGUUGAAUAUACAUGUUCUAAACAUUAUACAGUACUUUCGUUGUUAACUCCAAACAACUUGGGAUCUUCUCUUCUGCAUGCAGCAACUGCCUUACCAGUACGCCGCCAAGGGGGCAUGCCUUGCCCUGGUAGCAAGGAGGGAGUGGAGCCUGUGGCAGGUCGCCGACCACGCCUUUGAGCUCGGCGCGCCGGACGUGAUCAUUCACCCCGGGGACGUCGCAGACCCCGACGACUACAACAGAUUUAUUCAGGCCACAGUCGACCACUACGACCAAUGUAAGUCAGCCCCUCUCCGUUACAACAAACCUAGUUUAACAAAUUUCUUCCAUAAGCAUUCAUUCAUUUGGGUGUAAGAUAGUUGACAUUUACACUUGUAUAUGUUUAUCAGAAUAUUGAUACUUUGCAUGCUAUGAGUAAAAUGCUCUAUUUUCUUUCGUCACCUUUCUUGUAUGAAUGAUUAUCUCAUUUUAACUUGCUGGAGAAUGAAAGCAUUGUACUAGCUGAAUUUGUCUUAUCAUUCUAAAGAACUUGUUUGUUUUUUGAUUGGUUUGUUCAUAAUAUAUUGGCCCCAAAUUUUUUGAUUCUUCUCUUUUGGUUCAUGUAACAGGGCGACCGUGGAAGGCAUGAUGAUAGUUCAUAUUGUCAUUCUGUUAGUCCAGUGUAAUGAAGGUCAUGGCCUAGUCAAGUAUGGUCGCCCAUUGAGUCAUGCAUAUGUUUCAUAUGAUUGGAGCAGGGGCCCAGUUUGUGCCGAUUGUCACUGCAUAUGUUUAACAGUGAUUCUACUUGUAUAUGUGUUAUUACACUAGUAGAAUUUGUACCUGUGCGAUGACUGGAGCAGGAUCCCAAUAUUUGUAGAGAUUGUAACAUUGAUUGUCACUGUAUACAGAUUGAUUCUGGUUGCUGUUACUUGAAGUAUUUCUUAUGUUUUAUGUCUGUGUUGUUUUAAAUAUUGAUUAUUUAUUUACUGUCAAAUCAAAAUCAGAAGAAAAAGGCAUUGACAAAAGGGGCCCACUUACUAGAACUUGACCACUGGGACCCAUCUAACUAGAGGAUUUUCUCUAAAAAACAAAAAUAAAACUGUCUAGCCGAAAAGGCCAUGGCCCAAAAAUGAGAAGGCUUAAUUAUUGGGC
Molecule: long non-coding RNA, 54100 nt
Filed under: Triticum aestivum (bread wheat)
Lineage: Eukaryota; Viridiplantae; Streptophyta; Magnoliopsida; Poales; Poaceae
Description: long non-coding RNA (TAES_LNC018509)
Rfam family: MIR1120/MIR1122 microRNA precursor family (bases 9450-9584)
Source: RNAcentral